Molecule: long non-coding RNA, 66551 nt
Filed under: Citrus x clementina
Lineage: Eukaryota; Viridiplantae; Streptophyta; Magnoliopsida; Sapindales; Rutaceae
Description: Citrus clementina (C. clementina) long non-coding RNA (CCLE_LNC003574)
Source: RNAcentral
CAUUUACAAAUUUAUAUUAUUAAAAAAUAAUAAUAUUAAAAAAUAUUAAAUCUUUUAUAUAAGUAGUACAAUAUUUAUAAUGACAAUUACCUCGAGAAUCCGUCACUUAAUCAAAAUUUUACCGACUUUCUAGCCAUUUAAAAUGUGAGAAAGAGAGCGGUUUUGUUUAUUAACUAUCAGCGAGCAACUUUUCUAGGGCUACGAGAAUGGCUGGCAAGCACCUCCUCCUUGCCUUCUUUGUGCAGAAGGCCAGAAACUGACGGUUGGGUCAGAGAAAAUGCCAAAAGUACGAGCCGGACCGCACCGUACGGGUGAUGACAAAACGCACCUACUUUCGAACAAACGUGUUCACGCUUUCAGUCUCUUAGCCGUACUCACUUGCACUUGCUGCAAGCCUGCAACAAGACACUUGUCUUUCGGUGGGGAAAGUAUGAUGCCGAGACCCAGUGAUUUAAAUAUUAGGGAUGACUUAAAACAUUGCUAGCUGUUCCCAGCAUACUAGCUAAGAUUUAAAUAAGAGAAAACAAAAAGAAACUAGCGACGUCUGAUCAUACUAAAUCAUAAACUGAUCUUAUGAUUAAAAUAAAAGGGCAUUAAUGCUUAAAAAGUCUGACCUCUUAAACUAAGGGUCGGGUCAUGGUCCUGAGCCGAUCAAUAUUUUUUUUUUUUUACUAUUUUAUUUUUUUAGUUUUGCUUUUAGAAUAGAAUUCUUAUUCUUCAUUCUUUAUUCAUAAUAUUGUAAUAUAUUUAUUCAACUUUUAUGUUGAGUUUAUUUGAAAGGAAUAUAAUAAAUUAUUUUUUACUUAAAUUUAACGAUAAUACAACAUAUAACGAUCUAACCAAAUGAACAGAUUAACCAAACUAAGAAUAAAUAAAUAAUUUGAAUACAAAAUAACUAAACUAAUCUAAAAUAGAGGCAAGUAUAUUUAAGGUGCAUUUUGUGACCGCCUGUUUGGGGUGUGUUUGUGUUUUAAUAACUUUUAAAUGUUGUAUUUUUUAUUUUAAAAAUUGAGUUAGGGAUUAAUCGUAUCUAAAUUUUUUUUAUAAGACCCCAACUCUAAUCGGAAUAUAAUCAAACUCUAAUUCCUCAAAUAAUGACCGACCUUUAACCUUUUAAAUUAAAGCUAAAACUUUAAAAAUUAAAAGUAGGUCUAUCAAAUUAAAAGCUUGAUCGAACCUUUUUGUCGUCCCUUAUUAUAAAUCUAAGGCCGAGUGGUUAGAACUCUUCCCUCACAAUUGUGAAUGAAUGAGUUUGAGCCUCCAUAACACAUUGUGAGAAUUUAAUUUUCUUUCUCAAUUUAAGUGAAAAUAAUAUUUUUCUUUUAAAACGUGAGUGGAAUAAAUGUUUUUUAUAUGUUAAAGAAAGUAAAAACUUAGACAGUGUUAUAUAAAAUUUAUAAAUUUUAAAAUAAUUUCAUGAAAUAUGAAUUAUAUCUUGAGUAAUAGUCUCGUAUAAUUAAAAUUUUUUUUAAAAAAAGUACAAAUCUCGUCAAUCAGCUCAAUUGGUUGCUUGUUUUUAACACAUUAGAGUCGCAUAUUCUUUAUUCUUUUUGUAAAAAAUAGUUUGAACAUUGUACCUAUUUCACUCUUUCCAGUGGCCCCAGCAUUAUCAUUUUACUAGUGGACUCCUUCUCAGUUCUCAUCAUCAAUUCCUCAGUCCCUUUCCGAAAUUUUUAUUAUGAGAAAAAUUGUGACCACAUAAGAAAAAGCAUUGAGCCUGUCUUUGCCAUCCAAUCCAACAACCCACUUGCCUUGUCCAUGCUGCCUUGCUUUCAUCUAAGCACUUUGUUUUUUUUCUCUUCUUUUUUUUUUUUUUUAAAAAAAAAGAAAUCUAUGCUCACUUUUGUUGUGCCAAAAAAUAAAAACCAAUCGAUUAAGAUUCUCUUAUAUAAAGAUAAAGAUUUUCUUAAUAUAUAGUUCUACUUUAGCUAUGCCCAAAUAAUUAAAAAUUUUCAAUACAUUGUGAAAUGCCACUUUUAUUCCGUAAAGUUCUUAUAUAUAUGAUUAGUGUUUUGGUCUAUCAUCAUAAAGUACGGGAGAUGUCGGGAAAAAAUUUUAAAACUGCAGGGUUUUAAAAGUUUAAAACUUAAAGCGUUUAAAUCACACGGUUUAUUGUGUUUUCCCGGACAUUCCCGCACUUUAAAAUUCUAGACUUGAAUAUAUAUAUAUAUAUAUAUAUCAUUUCAAUAGAAUAUAAAGUUAUUUAGAUAAAUGACAAAAUCUACUUUGAAUUUGAACUUUAUCAUUCUAAACAUAAUAAUUUCAUUUCUUAAAAUGAAAAAUUGCUAGUCUUAUAAUAUAAUACGUCUAUGCUUGUGCCUAUCCAAUGAAAGUUGUUGGGCAUAUUUGGCAAAACAAGAUAUGAUGUGGAGUUGUGGACCUUCGGCCCAAUAAAUAACUACAAGAACAGUAUUUCUGAAAGGUCAAUGGUGCAUACAUUUUUGCAACUUUAUCACUUUACGUAAUGUAUUUCAAAGUAUUAAGAAAUUUAAAAAUUUAGAAACCACUCUUUGAUUGGGCGGUUCUAGUUUCGUUCUUAAAGUUAAGAGUUUGAGUCUUCUUAUGAAGAAUGUGGAAGUUAAUUUUUUUUUAAAAUAAUAAUUGAAAAUAGAUUGAAUUCGCUUCGAAUCUAAAAAUCCCAUACAUAAAUUUCUUGUUAUAUAUAUCAGUAAAAAUAAUUUAAAGUAUUAAGAAAAUUUUCAAACUAAGGUAAUGGAAAAAAAAAAAAAAUUGAAACAUUUUUAUUUAGAUUACCACAACAUCAUUCCUCAAAGACCAGUCAAAUUUGGGCUUUAAACUGAAACGUUUGAACGGUAAGGGGCUUGGAGUCCAUAGUUCAAGCUCGGCCUAAUAUGAACAUACGAUCUUUUUUUCUUUUUAUAGCGGCAUCUGUCAACAAAUCCAAAUUCGUCAAAGGCGUAUCCCAAGUGCUGCUUUUAAAACCAAUUUCUGCUUCUCAAAGAAGAUCUUCUGGUGCAAGAAUGACUAAAAAGGCAACUUAAUCUCCAAGAUUCAAUAACGACUGCCGUGAAGGUGCACUCUGAACACGAUAGUUUGAACAUAAAAAAAAAAAUAAAAAAAAAAAUUGAUGAAAGAUAAUAUGCGACAGAAGUAGAGAGCAACUAAUCAGAAUAGUUGAAUUAUUCUCUUCUAUUCUUGUUUUGUAGUAAAUCAUACAUUAAAAAUUUUGUACGUCUCCCUUAUAUAGAGAAAUCUUCUAUAUGAUUUUCCCUAAUUCAAUUUGAAUUAAUCACCUGUUUUUCUUAUUUAAUUUGAUUCCACUGUGUCUCAUAAUUUCUUAUUUGACUCCUAUAAAUUUCGUGUUCGAAAUUGUGAUUAAUUUAUUCGUAAAAAAAAUCGAUUUAUUACAUUUAGGUGUUGUAUUGGAUAUGAAUCAUUUCGGAUCAAUUUGGAUUUGAUUGACUGCCUCCACUAUGGUGGUGUUGCUGGGUCCUAUUAACGUGUAAUUAUUGGUAAAAAGGGGAUAGAAAAACAUUGCACGUACAUUAUCACGAAUAGGCACACGAGUCAAAUUCACACUCAGAUCUUUAGAUGUGAGCUCAAGUAUGAGCAGAAUCUAACAUCUUUUUAUCAAAUUCACAUGAUUAUGCUCAUAAAGUUGCUCUCUAUUAAUGUGAAAAUCCACAAAGGCACAUCUUGCACUGUUGUAUUUACCUCUUUAAUAAUAAUUAAAGAAAAAAAAAAGCGUCGCUUUCAAUGAACUUCCUUCACAAAUCCCUCAACCAAGCUGAUUUAAUUUUAAUUUUAAUUAUUUAAUAGCACUGCGGGGGUGUCUUUCCACUUUCAUCGAAAUUGAUUUACAUGCAAUUACUACUAUGAAUGAACCCUCAAAUCAAGUGGAGGAAAAUGGAUUUUAUUUUUUUUCUCAAUAAAAAAAUGGCUUUAUUUGUAGGUGGGGUGACAUAAGAAUCCAAUUACAAAGAGCUUGCUUGUUGCCGUGAAGUCUGGGCACAGCAAUUUCUUCUUCAUUUCAGUCAACAACUACCACAAGCAACUCUCCCUUUUGCAUACAUCAAUAAUUGCAUUAUUUGGAUUAAUCAAUCACGCAUCUUCGGUUAAAAUUUCUCCCAAUAGAUUUCAUAAUUUUAAUAGAUGUAUAGAUCAUACCAUAAUAAUUAUCUUUUGAUACAUAACGCUACCGAGACCAAUUCACGACACAUGGUUAAUUAACAUUAAGCGUUAUAAUUUAUAAAUAUGAUUUGUGUUUUUUUUUUUAUAUAUAAAUAUGGAGAUCUUGAUUAUGUUACUCGAAAGAAAUAACUUGUAAACAUGUGAUUAGUGUUUCUUAAAGAUUAAAAAAAGAAAAAUUUACAACCGUCCACCUGUUUGUUUUGUCUUUUUCAAAAAUACACAAACACUUUUUUUUUUCAGCGCGCCACCUGAAGUUCACUUUUUGUUGCAUUCUUCCACUUCCGUCUAAUUUCCAUUAGCAAAUUUAACGAAAUGACUUUUUUACCCCUCAAAAUUACAAUUUAACCUAAAAUAAAUAGAAAUUGGAGAUAAAUUGGAUGUAUUUAAAUUUUUUCAAAGGUGGAUGCUAGAAAUUAGAGGAAAAUAGUGUUUGUUGCUUGCUAAAUUUAGAAAAUUUGUAUUUAUUUUUUUGGAGGAAAAUAGUNNNNNNNNNNNNNNNNNNNNNNNNNNNNNNNNNNNNNNNNNNNNNNNNNNNNNNNNNNNNNNNNNNNNNNNNNNNNNNNNNNNNNNNNNNNNNNNNNNNNGAAUUUUUGAACUAAUUUAAAACCCCAAUUACCUGCUUAUAACAAUUGAGAUGCCGCCCAAUUUUAUUCUUAUGGGGUUUGUUUGGUACCCUUCGUUACAUGGGGUAGCGAUGCAGUCCUAUGUUCGGGGCACCAAAUUGCAGCAACUUAGUGUAUUAAUUGAAGUCGGAUUUAGCUAAUACGAUAAUUAUUUAUCGUUUUUUUAAUUUUUUUAAUAAUAAUAAAUAAUUUAAAAUUUAUUAUUCAAUAAUAUUAUUUUAUAUUUUUAUUUUUAUUAUAUUAAAAAUAUAUCUAAAUAAUGUAUUAUUUAAUUAUAUUAUAAUAAUUAAUAUAUAAAAUUGAUUAAUCUUCAAUAAGUUAGUAUAACCAAUAAUCAAUACUUAAAUAAUAUAAUAUUACAUUAUUUAAUUAUAUUAAUUAAAUUACUUAUUUUUAAAUAAUUAAAUAUAACUAAUAAUAAAUAUUCAAAUUAAAAAAAUUAAUAAUAUAAAUAAUGACUGGAUUAUUUAGCACAAUUAAUUUUGUUAGUGAAAUGUUACGACGAUUCUAACACUUUAUUAUUUUGUAAUUAUCUUGUAAUAUGUAUAAACUUUUAUUAUGUCAUCCUAAAAUGAUUUUUGAACUAAUCUUGAAGAUUUUAACUAUUUAUUUAUGUUGUUAAAUUAUUUAAAAAUUAUUUGUUUCGAUAUUUAUUUCAUAGGUUAUAUAUUUAGAAAAUACUAAAAGAAAGGCUACAAGCUUCUAUCUUCAUGGAGAAUUAGGAUUUUUUUAACAUUCUUAUUAAAAAAUAUUAAAUUUGUAAAAUUUAAGACUUUUAUAUUCAGUAUUUUUUAAGUUAUAAUAAAGAUUAUUUUUAAAUAUAUAAUUUAAAUUAAUAAAAAAAUAAUAUAAUACGGUACAACACUAAAUAUAAUAUAAUUAAAAAUUAAUACAGUACAAUGUAUCACCAAAUAAUAUAUAACAUAAUCAUAAUACAAUAUUAAUACAACACAAUAUAAUAUAAUAUAUUAUGUCAAACGCACAAUAUAUAUAUAUAGAUACACACGCAUGCACACACGCACCUAUAGGGUCAACCAAGUCGAUCAAGGUCAAGGGUCUUUGGUCUUUUUAUUAUGCAUAAAUGUCUACAAACUUGAGAAAAUUUCAAAAGAGAAGAACAAGACCCAAGUUGGAAUGUUGAACUUUUGAAGAUCUCCAUUAAAGUGCUCACAACCAUUCAAUCUGUGGACUUUUUGUCCAAUAGCUUUAUGAAGCUUCUACGUUAAAAGACACUCUGGAUUUUCCAACUUCCACAAUGGGUUUGAUGGAAAAGUUUCAAUAACAUGUGAAAGCUUUUUGUUGAUAAUAUUGUUGGAUGGUAACAUCUGUCUAAAUAUAUACAACUAUAAGCUAGUUUGAGGUCUGUCAGAGUAUAAUGAAAAAAAUCUAUAUUAAUAAAAGUUAAAUGAUCGAUUCCUCUUAUAAUUAUUCACAAGAAAUGUCAUUAAAUUAAGAUGAAUAAACUCUUAUUUCGAUAGAAUUACAAUUUUUUCUUAAUCUAAACUCUCGUGAAUUUUACAAGAUAUUGUGUCACGCGUAUAAUUAUAAAAGUCUAUGAUAAAGAUCUGAUUACUUUUUACAUCCAUAUAUUUUAACCACCAAUCACCAAUUUAUAUUUUACCAAAGACUCUUGAAGAAAGUAAAAUCAAAUAAGAAUUCUAAUCAUCUUACCCAAAACAAAAGAAAAACUUUUCAGAAAAUAAAAUAUAGAUGAUUGAAACCCAUUUGAUAUAGAUCCCACCCUAAUACUGCUAUCCCAACCUGUAUCAGUCAGUUAAUUACGGCCAACAGAAUCGAAGCCUUAAUUUUCUAAUAAUGUACCAUUGGAAUAUUGACUAAUGAGGCCAACUGCCAUAUUAUUGCCAAAUGAUGAGGCGUUAUAAGCAAAUUUAAUGCAAUCAUACGGUAUGUUCCAUCUAUUAACUAUUAUCACUAUCAAUAAUUCUAGAUGUGUAUAAAAUUGUAAGCUAUUACGGAGCAUGACAUGACGCCAUGAUAAAUCUCGAAUACACCUCGUUUUCCCAAGUCAUCUUCUCAUUUGGGUAUGUUAUUUUGACAUUUGAAUGAACGUCAAAAUUGAAGCAAGACUUGGCAGAUUUAAAAAUACAAAGUAAUGUAUUAUAUCAUAAUGUACAGUGUUACAAAGCUAUUAACAAUGAAUAAUGCCUAACAAAAGAAUUAGGAAGUCACCCCGGUGAAUCCUGGGAGCUUCAUUACAAGCUCGAAAUAUGGUCAGAACUGAUAUCUGAUCCGACCGUCGAACUCUUGAUUCGGUAUGCAAAUGACUCGGCCAGUUCACUGGCGUGCCUAACGCUAAGGCGUGUUCCCUGUUGCCCAACAACUGUGGCUGCUAUUCUAGCUGCUAAUGCACCCAUUCCUUUUAGGUCUGAUACACCUCGUAAUAUACCGUACAAAAUACCAGAUGCGUAUGCAUCACCAGCACCACAAGUGUCCACAGGGACACAUGGAGAAGGAGGAAUAUAUACAGCUUCUCCUUUGACACCUAUGUAAGAGCCUCUUGCCCCAUCUGUGACUGAAACUAAGGGAACAAAGUGGCUUAAGUACCUUGUGGUUGACUCUGGGCUUUCCUUUGAAGAGAAGUGGCAAAAAGCUCUGGCUUCGUCACUGUUUGCAAACACGAUGUCGGCAUAGUUUCCAACAAUUUCCCUGAGUGAAAUCAGGACAAAAAAAAUAUUUAGCAUAUAUUAUAUCUGAUGAAUGAAACCAAAGGAACUUCAUACUAUUGAGAUCCUUCAUUUCCUUCAUAUUGAUAAACACAAGUCAUCAUCACAUUGAAUCAAUUUAACAUGCGCAUCAAAUACCUGGUAUAAAUGAAUUACACAAACAGGACUAUUCUGAAGGGAAUGAAAUUCAACCAUAUCAAUACUCUCAAAACGUAUAUUGACAUCUACCUUGACUGAAUCUUGUUCCACCUCAAUGCUAUUAAGCCAAAAAUAUAGAAUUGAGGAUGUAAAAGGAAGUCCGAGGGAUGAAGACACAAUGGCCAAAUGAAAUGGAAACUGAGUCGUUUCACAUUCCCUAUGCAUGUUUUUCUCUCUAAGACAUGCAGUUUUUACUUUUUCUCUCACCUUAUUCAGGGACGAGUCUCUAAGACAAGAAAACAUUAAGAUUCUGAAAAAGAAAGCCGCUCCAUUGUUCUUCUUUAUACACUUCUAUUACCUAAUGCUUGGACAAAUGUGACAUGAAGUUUCCUAGUAAAUCAGAAAAUCUACUUUGUUUGACGCAGCUGUUUUUGAUAGCUUAUUUAACUUCACGGAUUCUAUUAAAAACAAAAUUUACCUUGGGGAUAUAAAAAACUCACAUUGAAACAAUUUUAUGGAGGAUACAAAUUCAGUUAAACUCAAGUACAACAAUCAAAACCAUGUAAUAUUCAUACCAGAAGUCAUCAUAAUGUCUCUCAAUGCACGUCACAUCUGAUGCUGUUACUGCAACCAGAGCGCCACUUCUGUGAGCUACUUCACAAGCUUUUGUAAUUGUUCUAAUUGUAUCAGGAAGUUCAAACAAAUAGCCUUCAACAAUAAAUAUAUUUGUCUUGGAAAUAAGGUUAACCAAGCAGGGAUCAUAGUUGAUAGUCGAUGAUGUACCCUGACACAUUCAAAGAGCCAAAUAUAUUAAUAUCUGAUAGUACUAACACCAUACACCAUAUAAGCAUGCUACACAGAAGUAUUAAUUAGUACAAGAACUCAUUGUUAUUUAUGUGGAAAAAUUGCUAAGUGCCCUUAAAAAGUAGCAAAUAGUUUACAAUUUUCACAGACAACUAAUGUAAUUUACUUUAUCACCAGCUCAUUGGUGAUGUAGGUAAGAUGUUAAAAGAACAUAUUAGGGAAGAGAGAUACCACAGAAGUUAAGAAUAAAUACUAACACCAAGUAGGAAUGUAUAGUGUUUAUAGAUAUAUAUAUAUAUAUAUAUCUAAGUGUUAGUGGGUCCUUUCCCCACAAGAAGUAAAAUUCCUUUGAACUUUGUGAGCUUCUUGUUACUCAAAAGCCCCUAACAAAUUACAAACCAAACAGUUUAUCAACAGAGAGCUUAUGCAAGCCUACUACACAAUAAAGAAUCCAACUUCAAUUAAUAAUUCUUAUGUGGAAGGGAAAAAUAAUAUUAAAUAAUGAAGAAGUACCAGAUGCUAUUGUCAUUCGACAUAAAAGCAAAGAAAAUUAUGCAUGAAGUCAUAAACCAAUAGUUCUGCAAAAAUCUAACUAGUUAAGGUUUGAUAGCACCCAUGAAAUAUAAAUGUUGCUUAACUUGUUCUCUUCAUAAAGAUAAUGUUUAAGAAAAGUGCAAAUUUUAAACAUGAAAAGACAUUAAUUUUUAUUUCUAAUACUUCUUUGAAAGCUGACCUGGUAUGCAAGCAUCGCGCGUUGAGCAUCUGGAGUAGUGAGAACUAUCACUGUUCCUGUUGUGCCGUCCUUGAUGGGUUCAGAGCAAAAUGCCACAUUCGCCCGACGCAAUUUUUCCCUGUAAAACAAAUUAAAGACAGUAGAUUUUAACCUAAAUCACAGAACUGCAGUAGCAAUGAAAGAAAAGGAAAAAUAAAGAAAAGAAGAAUAUCAAUUCUAAAGGAUCAAAUAGUUCAAUGUUUAAUACUAAACACGAAUGUUAAAUCAAACAAAGAAAUGUUUUAGGACCCAGAUGGAGUUACAACACCAGUAUCAUAACAGGAAGACUUUUAAUUAAUUGGGAAUCAGUAUAAAAUGAUAGAUCAUUUCGAGUCUCAAGCAUCAAUUAACUGAAUGAUUACUUUUUCAGCUUGAUUCCCUCUUUAGCCUUAUUAGAACUUCAAAAAAAUUCUUCUCAGUAAUUAUCAAUUGGAAGUUUUUUGCUUUGUUUCCCUUUGCAGAGGGCACCAUAUUUUAGUACCAUUUUUUGUUCUCAAUAAUCCUCAUGAGCUAGGAAUUUCUAUUGGCAAAAAUUGGCAGAGCUUAGUAUUGUCUUCUGUUCAAAUUAUUAUUCUAGCAAGAGAGAAAAAGCAAGGGAAGAAUAGUGAACUCUGCAUCAAACUCAGUCUGGCAUUGAGUUCAGAUUAUAAGUUGAAGUUACAGCUAAAAACAGCAAAAUAUAUAGCAUAACAUAACUAGUUGACAACCAAAUAGUUAUAGUGGCAAGAGCAACCUAAGAUCAUGAGUGGAGGGCGGCAAAUUUAUGCCUCCCUAAUAUUUACAACACACAAUGAAAUUGCAUAGCCCCAAAAGAGUUGCCCAAGCUACCAAACAAUGGGUUUGUCAAGCUUUGCAAAAUCAUGCAUCAAUUUCCAGAUGUAUUUCUUAUUCUUUUGAAAACCAUACCUCUAAUGCCUAAACAGAAAAUUUCCUAUUCUUUAGAACACAGUAGAUGCCUAACAGUACUUCAGUCUUCCAUUCAAGAUUGAACUACCACCAACUAUUUCUUUCUUAAUCAUGAUUCCGUACCAAGAAAAUUCUUUUAAACCUGCACAAGCCACUUUAAUAAAGACAUUAUAUAUACACAAUGGCGACUGCUACUACCAUCUUGAAUCCCCAGAUUCUGGCAUUGCCAUAAGCAUGGCAUCCUGAUAAAGGGAAUAAUAACAUUGGACUCUACAAGCCAUCUAAAGAUGCGAAUGAAAAAAAUUACUUGUUAUUUCUCUAGGCUGAUGAGUACCCACAAAACACAAAAGAUAAACAUCGACCAGAUGAGGUUAUGAAAGUCAAACUGCAAAUGCUUUAUCUUAAUUGCUCCUGACACAACUAUAACUCUGAAGGUAUCCAAUACAAAUUUAUUCAAACUGAAGGGACUCUGAAUCCCUUAUUAACAUCUUUCCUAAGAAGAAAUUAAACCGCCACAACCUCACUACAGAAAGAAGUUUUCCACAAGCUCUUGUAAUUAAGUUUUUUAAAUAAAAAAAAAUCACCAAUUCAGCAUAUUCAAAACAAUGCCUAACCUGUAGAAGCCACCCAAUGGAUCGCUCCCGACGCUGCCCGUCAUGGCUACAUUUAAAGCUGGGCCACCAAUGGGCUUUCCCCCAAGCCUUGCCAAGGCCACCAGACUGUUGGAAAGAGAUCCACCAGCAGCAGCCUUAUAGCUGCAACCAUCCAUAGCACGCAAAACCCUGCCCCUCUCUUCAUGAUUUACAAGCUUCCUCGUUCCCUUCUCUAAUCCCAGUCUCUCCAAAAAAUCAUCGUCAACCAUGCCAGAAAAAUCUACCUAAAAAUACCAGUACAGACACGGAAUGCCAAGAUAAAAUGAUUAUUAUGUAUAAUACUAUAACAUCACAUGUAUAUGUAUCAAAGUUGGAGAUAAUUCUCCAAUAAAUGUGGGAACUAUUCAACGGGUAUAAGAAAUAUUGGCACAGAGCCUUCUGGUGAACUGCAACAUUUUUAUCUCAUGCGGCAUUUACAUCAGCAUCAAAUAAAAAUAACAUGAAUUUCUGGACCAAUUAAACACCUGAGAAUCAAACAGUUACAACCCCAAAGAAAAAAAUGACAAUUCCUUCACAUGAAUGGAGGUACUACUACAAAAUUCAACCAUUUUAAUGUAAACAAGCACAUUCCAUGCAUAAGAUUCUAAUAAUAAAACCUUCUCGUGAACCCCAUCAUUAUCUUAAACUUAGAACACCCCGGUUUGAUAUCCGUACUCUACACAAAGUUACUCACAAAUGAAUCAUACCCAAACUAUACCACUUAAUAUCCAAAAUGCUCAAUGUAGCAACUCAAUUCAAAUGAUGACUCCAAAGACCAAUUGUAAUGCGAAAUCAGCAACCCUUCGCCCAUACCACAUGGGGGAAAAAAAAAAAAUAGAAAGCUUACCAAAGGCGCGAAUAUAAGAAGAACCAAGAUUUGUAAUUUGUAAACUUUAUAAAUAUUCUAAAUAGCUAGAGCAUAUAAUAUUUUUCACAAACAAUUUGAUUAUUAUACAGAACUAACAAUCCAGCACAAAAGUUCAAAAUUUUUAUCUGUUAUGUAGUACAAUUUCUCCUACACGAAUUCAAACGAAAAUCCAAGCUUUUCAUUUGACAAGAAACAAGAUUCAAACUUCAUAAAAAAAAAAAAAAGAAGCAAAAUUACCAUAGCCUGGCCCAGGCCUAAGACAUCCCAUCUCUCAGGCAAGACAGAAGCAGACCCACUGAUCUCUUCAUCAUAUUCGUCUCCAUCAUCAUCAGCCUCGCUCUCAUCUCCAGCUUCAUCAUCUUCCUCAUAAUUAUCUCUCCCCAAAUCCCCUCCCCCACCAUUACUAGCCCAACAAACGGAUAAAGACGACGACGACGACGACGGCGACACCCAUAAAAACCCACCUCCCUUUUUCCCCAUAAAGCCACCCCUCACCCGUUCUUUGCCAAGAGAAAAUUUUCGAAAGACUAGUGCUUGGAGCUUUGUGCGGUGAGGAUGGUGGUGAUAUAAAGAAGAGGGAGGAUGAUGAAGAGGGAAUGUAGGAGAGGAAACAGGAAGAAGAGAGAGAGCCAUUUUAGUGAUUCUUCUGCGAAGUAUUCUUGGAUGUAGAUUUCGUGUGCGUUAUACGUUUGAUGAUUGACUGCUUCUUUUGGCUUCUCGCUUAUGGUGGAGAAGCGUGCAUGCCCAUCCACAAAAACUUAACGUUCAGUUUGAGCCUUGAGAACCAAAAACAGAAACUACACGCCCUCUCUGUUUUGCGGCAUUGAAUUUUCAAAUGGAGGAAAGGAGGAGGAUAACGAAACUCUCUCUCUCUCUCUCUCUCUCUCUCUCUCUCUCUUUCGCUUCCUUAGCGUAAAUCAAUGCUGUCUAUACGUGCCGGCUAUUUAUAUUCUAUUUUUCAUUUUUUGGGAGAAAAAAAAAAGAGACAAGAAUAAGGUGAAAAUUAAGAUGAAGAAUUUUAAUUUACCGGAUUUAUUUAUUUAUUUGCUAGUUAAUAGGAUAUAUUUUAUUUCAGGUGGAUUUAUUUAUUUAUUAAAAAAUACUGGAUUUUUUUCAUUUUAUUUUUUAUUCUUUGAAUAGAAACAAAUUUAAGUUUUUAAGUCUCUAUAAUGUUUGCAAAGUAAAAUAUUUUCAGAAACAAGUAAAUUAUUUUUAUUUCCAAUCAUUUUUUGAUGUCCUGCAUGGAUUCAUCAACAUCUUUUUCUUUCCUUUUUUUUUUUAUCAACAUAGUCUCUUUUCUUAGGUAGCGUUAAUUUUUUUUUAUCUAAAAUCUAACUAAACUGGAAUUAAUUUGAAUUCUGAAUAAAAUUAAAUGUCUGAAUCUAAAUAACAUGUUCUUUUUUUGUCUGAAUCACUAAAAAUAUGUAUGAAUUUUUUUUUUAAUUUAACAAAAUUUGAAAACUACUAUUUUUACAUCUAUACCCUUAUAAAUUAUAAUUGUCAAACAAUUUAUAACAUCUCAAAUAACAUAAAUAAUAUUUUCAUAACAUAAUCAUGCUCAAUUGAAUAUAGCCUUUUAAUAUUUUAAAUUAGUAUAUGUCAAUCAAUUCUAUUGUUGUUUAUGAUGUUUUAUCUGAAAAAUAUUCAUUAAAAAUUAUAAAGAUAAAUAAUACUAAUUUGAAAAAAAAAUAUUCUAGCACUAUAUUAUCAUGAGUUAUAAAGAUGAGUAAUAAUGCUAAUUACUAAACUUAUUUGGGUAUAGAUGAAACUUAAUUAAUAAAAUAAUGAUAUUUUAGAGAAUAAAUUUUAAUGAUGCUAUUUAAAUUUUUUAGAUUAAGAAAAAAGCUAAAUAUAUUAGCUUAAUAACUCAAUAAUUUAAUUAUUGAAAAUUUUCGUUAAGUUGAAAAAAAUUAACGAAUUUACUGACUUAACUGAUUAUAAUUAAGUCAAUUAAGUUAUUAAGUCAGACAAAAUAAAUAGCCCCUUAGUAUCUACUUACUGAAGGCCUUUUGCUUAUUUUUAUUCUUUUUCUACUGAUUGUUGGAAAUUUAUUGUAUUGUAUUCCUAAAGCAGAGUGUAUGUAUGUAUUGUGAAGCAACUAUUUAACUUUCCUACUCUUUAUUUUUUCAAUACAAAUUAGAGAAUAUCACUAUUACCAUAUCUAAAUAUCAUAGAAUUUAUCAAUAGUUUUUUUAUUCUAUCAGAUUAUAGUCAAAUUAGAAUCAAAUUCGACUAUACCUAGAUGCUAAGCAUAUGUUAAGGAAGCAGAGAAUAUCGAAUAUAUAUAUAUAUAUAUAUAUAUAUAUAUAUGAGGAGCAUGGGGUUUUAGAGGAAUUUAUUCAUCAUACUUUUCUUCGGCACCAAUUGAAAUAAUAAGGAUUCUUAAUUUCAUUCAUCAAAGAUACUUAAUUGAAGUUUAUAUAUAUAUAUUUUUUAAAAGUUUGUCAGAACUCUUUUUAGAUUUCUAUUAAGUAGUAGUAAAAUAGAAAAAGAAAUAGUUGUUAUUGAACAGAUAAAACUUCUCCCAUGAACUUCGAAAAUAAUUUGAAAUUGAUGAGAUACUUAAAUAACUAGAAUAAAGUUAUAUUAGUAUAAAAGGAUUUUGAUGAUAUUUGCUCUACAAAAAUUUAUAUAUAAGUGGAUUAAUUUCUUAUAAUUUUUUUGUGUGAGUUUAUUUUCUUAUAAAUUUUGUGCUGGACUUUUGAUUUUAAGCUUCUUCAUUGAACUUUAAUCGUAAAUUUAUGUUAACAUAAACUUUGAAAAGAACUUUCAUUAGAGGUUUUUUGAAAAGUCAAAUAGAUUUUUUAAUUAAAAUUAUUUUUUAGUUAAAUGAUAAUUAUUUCUUCUCCUUACUCUUAAAAGAUGGAAAGAUCGUGAGUUUUCUCACUUUUAUCGUAUAUUACGACAUUUCAUUUUUAAUAUAUUUAUGCACUUAAUUUUAAUUGUGAAUUUAUGACAUGAUAUAUAUUUCUAUAAUAUUAAAAGAAAACAUAUUUCACAUUUUUAGUCGCAAUAAAUAGAAAUAAGUUUGAAGUAGAAAAUUAGUAUAUGUAGCUAAUUUGGAUUUAUCAAGGUAACUUGACUUUUUCCUUUUCUCGAUUGGAAAGGAGAUCAGAUAAUUAAAAAGAAAAGAAAAUUAGAAAAUAAAAAAGGAAAAGGCACGAAGCAACCCAUGGCGAUGGGAAUGGAACUUGGACACAUCACCGCCACAAAUCACCGGGUAAUCUAAGCCGUCGCUUAUACCGAGAAGACUUUUCUUGAUUAUUUAUUUAUUAUUAAACUUUGUAAUGAAAGCUUCACCAAAAAAUAAAAAAAAAAUAGAUGGUGACAAUUUGAUUCUUCGCCGUCGCACUAAAUAGAGGAGAAAAUUAAUUUUUUUUCUUCGUUUUUAUAAUUUAUUAAAAAACGAGAGUUGAUUAACUGUGACAAGUUAACUAAAGAAAUCUUCCUUUAGUAAAUCAUUUAUUAAGAAAAAUUGAUUGAAAGUGAAAAAUAAUAAUAAUAAUAACUUAACACACACACACAUCAUUAUACCUACAAUAAUCGGUCAUAUUAUUAGUAUUCAUAAUAAAAGAAAGUAUUUGUCUAUUUAUAUAAUAGGUCGUAUGGUAAGAUAUAAAUUGGGUGAAUUUGUGGCUAUUGUUAAUUUCUGUAGACAUGUAAAAAAUAAUAAUAGAUCCCAUCUGUUAAUGAAGUGAAUAUAAAUUCAUUUGUAAGAGGUGAUACUUAUGAUAAAAGAAAAUAAAGAAGGUAGAAAUAUCUGCUUUAGCCUUUUGGUAGGUUAGGUUAAUAUAUAAGAAUGUCUGCUCGCAAAGCUUGGACGGUAAUUGAUGGGCUUGGUGGACUCUUUCGUAUCCUGACCGGAUCAUUUAAGCCCGUAGCAGCUAGUGGACCCACGUGGCUCCCCUUGAAUGGCCCACUUGUGCAUAUAUGUUCUCGACCAUGCCUCCCAACAAAUCGUGAUCUUGCUAAUGUAUUUACGAUUCUGAAGAAGCUUCCUCAUCUCUUCCCCACCUAGGCUAAUAUUUUAGAAAGAUUUCAUUUUGUAAGGAGAAAAAAAAAAAAAAAACCUAAAAUAACAAAAUUGUUACUUUUUAUUUUAUUUAUUUUCUUAAAAUAUGGAGGGGUGAGCAAAGACCCAUCAAUAUUUAACCUCCUAUUUCAUUUAGAAGUUAAGAUUCGAAUUCCUUAAAAUUUUAACCAACUAAAUAAAAGUACUUAAUUAAAUAUCAAGGAUGAGAAAAUUAAUUUUAAAUUAACUGGAGGCUUGGCCGUAAAGUUAAUAACGUACUUAUGAGUACUAUUACGGUGCUAAGAAAACAUUAAAAUUUGAUUGCUUCUGGUUAAUCGAUGUGGAUUUAAUGACAAAUUAGGAUAAAUUACUGUUGAUUUUAUUCUAUCAACGAAAAUAUUGAUCUUAGCCCACAAAUUUUCACACUCACACAUAAAUAUAUUAGAGAUACUCUAUUAAUCAUACAAUAAGAAAUUAUAUUAUGAUAAAUAUAAAUUUAUUUUAAAAAAUUAUUAUAUAAGUAGUGAUGAUAUUAAAUUUAAUUCCGCUUAUCGUAUAUGUAUUAAUUAAUUAUAUUAUCUCGGAUAUAAUAUAAAAUUAUUUUUGUCACGCAACUCACACCCGUACGUCCCCAUCAUCCCAAGCCACAUGUACGUUCUAGAUUCAAAAAACUGCGACACAGCAAUACAUAGAGCUCACCCAAUACAAGCCGACCAAUCAAAAUCUGUAUUGUUUUCAUUUGAUUCAAAGCUCUUCACGAGCACUGUCUUCUCGCCAGAAUUAACGAGACGGUGGUGGAAGAAAGAGAAAUAAACAAAAUUCAGGUGCGCGAUCGAUCGCAGCUCUAUAAAUUUUUAUAUUAAUUUUUGCUUCGUCAUUUUGUGUUUUACUAAAUCUGAAAACUUAUUCUUAUUUCUCUCGUUUUAUUUUGUUCCACUAUUUUUACAGAAUUUUGGAGGUAAUUCGCAUUACAUUUGUAAGAGCUUUAUUGUGAAAUUUCUGUAAAAUCUAAUGAAUUAUGAGUUAUUUUUUUCAAAUUUUAUUUAAAACUGUAAAAUUCUGUGGGACUUUUACUGCAAUUGAAGCAGAUUUGAGCCGUUUGAUCCCUUCUUGCUGAUUGUUCGGAAGCUGUGAAUAAAAUCUCGUUUCUUUUAUUAUUAAUUUUUUUUCUAAGGUGAAGUAAGUAAGUCUCGAAUUAGAUUCACUUGAAUUUGACUUGUUUGAAUUUAUUAUGGUUAUUUUAUUUUUCUCCUAUUUGCAGGUAUUUGAAUUGGAGUAAUUUUGUGAGGUUUUGAGUAUUUUAGUAUCAAUGGACCAUGCUGAACUUACCACAGAGCAGGUUAGUGAUGUGAUUUAAUCUGUUGAUUUGCUUGCUUUAUUAUCGUCAAUGAUUGCACAUUACCAUACUAUAGGCAUUUACAUUUUUUAUGUGUUCUGAUUUUGUCAGAACGAACCAAAUGUGCUCUUUUUUUUUCUAAUUAUAACAUUUUAUCUACACUCUUGUGAAAUCAAAUUAUCAGCUGUCUAGUACAAGUGAGUAGGUGAUUGACAAACAUUAGUCACCAAUUUAAAGUGGGUACGUACCGAACGGUUUAGUUGUUGUGCUUUCAGAUAAGCAGAAGCACAAAAAGGCUUCUUUAUAAAAGGAAAGCGUGAGUAACAAGUAAAAGAUGGUUUGUAGUUGUGUUCAUUACAAACUGUUUUCUUUCUGGGAACAUGAAGUAUUGGAAGUUGGCUUAAUCUGGUAAAUGUAUGUGUUGUUGUUACUAGUUAGUUUUAGUUGGUGUUUGUUCAGAAAUGAAAGUGAAAGGAAAUGGUAGAUUAGUCCUGCUCAAUAAUGCUAGUGUGUUUACUUGAUGAUGGCUAAUGUAGCCGGAUUCUAUUUGCCGCUAUGUUUAGUUUUUCUUGACUUUUGAUUAUUGUAUUUUUGUUGAAAUAUUGUGUGAUUUUGAAAAAAAAAAUGUUUUCUUGUUACAACGGAUUUAAUUUAGUCAAUCUGGAUUUUGGUUAACAUCUUCUUUUGUUCCAUAGGUUCUGAAGAGGGACAUCCCAUGGGAGACUUACAUGACAACGAAGCUGAUUUCAGGAACAGGGCUUCAGCUGUUAAGACGAUAUGAUAACAGAUCAGAAAGUCACCGGGCUCAAUUGCUGGAUGAUGUAAUGUUGCGUGGCUCUUAUAUGUUCCAUUCGUUUAAAAUGUACCAGAAAGCUAAUUUUGAUGCCUGUUACAACUUUAGUAGAAGAUUGAUAUGACUUACCAUUUUAAAUAGUCAGUAAUGUUAUUGACGAGUUAAUUGACUCUUACAGGAUGGUCCAUCUUAUGUCCGGGUGUUUGUUAGCAUUUUAAGAGACAUAUAUAAGGAAGAAACAGUGGAAUAUGUUCUGGCUUUAAUUGAUGAGAUGCUGACAGGUAAGAGGAAUGAUUAUGGUCUUUUGGAUAGAAUAUGCAUACUAGACAAUUUACCUCUUUUCAUUUCCUUUGUCAGCCAAUCCAAAGAGAGCCAGAUUAUUCCAUGAUAAAUCUCUUGCAAGUGAAGAUACUUACGAACCUUUCUUAAGUUAAGCACUUAUGCAAAAUUGUUAGAAUUUGAAAUCAUUGAUCCUUUUACAGUUCAUAUCUUAUCUUCUUUUCUUAACUAAAACGAUAUGUUAUCUUUUCCAAUUUCAGAUUGCUGUGGAAAGGUAAUUGGUUCAUACAAGAAAAGAGCUGUAAGAUAUUAGCUUCGAUUGUAAGGUACUUAAAACAUGAUCCAUUUGCUCAAAGGUGCAAUAGUUUGGAGGUUGGUAUAUUUUGUUACAUUCAGUUACUGAUUGUGCAAUAUUUUCCGUAAUCAUAGUGCUAGGCCAAAACCACAGGAUCGCUUUUUUGCUAAUGGGGAAGCCUCAAAUUCAAAAAGCAAAUCCACUACCAUUGAUGAUGUUUUAAAAUUAUUGGUUGAAUGGCUUUGUGCACAGGUUAGUAUGUGGCUAGUUCCAUACUUUGUCUUUCCUUCUCUCUUUCUUUCUUUCUGAAAAAUUUGGGCCUCGGUUAGUGUUGGUUAAGGAACUAUCAGGAAAUUGAAAGCCUUCUUUAAUGAUGCAUAAAAGAAGUUUGACGGAAAAAUUGACUUAGUGUGCAAAAAAUUUGAACAUAAGGUUUUUAAAUUCUUUAUGGUGUUUAUUUGGAACCUUCACCAGUGACUUGCCUUUUUAAUAAUAUUAUGUUGCAUAGCCUGUCCAGACACUAGUUUUCUUUUCAAUUUCCAUUUUUUGUUUUGUUUUGUUUAGUAGUUAGGGGCAUUCUCAGGCUUGGUAUGGACUUUACAGAAAUCACUGGGUCUUUAAGAAUAGGAGAACAAGAAUUUUAUACACGUUGAUAUAGUGCUCGAAAUUUGAGUGGUAUAGAUGUUCAGAUUCUGAGCUCAUUUAGGAUCUUCUAAUAAUCCUGAUCCUAGGUGUGAUAUUGAGAGUCUAUCCUUCCUCUUUUUUUUUUUCCUUAGCCUUUCGCAUCAAGUUUUUGCUCUUAAAUAUCAAAUUGAUCAUGGACAAACCUUAAUUCAACAGUCCUAUCUUUCUGCCAAAUCUUGUUUUUUUCCUUCUUAAUUGAUGUUGGAAUAUCAAUCCUAAAGUCAGGUUUAAUUGCCUGCAUAUUUCUUCUUGUUUUCAGCUCUUUGAUUCUCAUAUUCUACAUCUAUUAUCCCUAGCCCAUUGAAUGGUUGUUGUAUUUUUGCUGGAACCGUUGUACUCUUUUAUUUAUUUAUUUUUCUCUAAUUAAAGUAAUGUUGACAUUUUACCACUCUUUUAUAACUCUGGACUAGUUGAGAAAUGCUUUUCUACGUAGAGUGCUUUGAAGUCUUGCAUUUUCCUUUUAAUGAAUGCUCCAUUUGUGUUUUUACAAUUACAUUUUCAAUAUCAGUUGUUAGGUAUGUUUUUCGGUGAUGGUAUUGUCAUACAUGAUAGUCCUGAUGCCCUACAUUGUGUGUAGCUGAAGAAGCCUUCCCAUCCUAGUCGUGGCGUUCCAGUUGCUAUCAAUUGCCUUGCAGCAUUACUGAAGGAACCUAUGGUGAGAUCUUCCUUUGUUCAAGCAGAUGGGGUGAAGUUGUUGACCCCUUUAAUUUCACCUGCAUCCACACAGCAAUCUAUCCAGGUAAUAUUUCAUAUUCUAGAUAGCUAAUUUAUAUGUAGUUCAACACAUAAGUGGGCACCCAAUCCUGCAAUUUUUUUUUUUGUUUUUGGUUUUUGGGGGGGGUUUUCAAUUGCCGACCCUGCUAGUUAGCAGGUGCCAUGCUGGGUUAGAAUUUUGGUAAAACUCAGUAUUUUUGUCCUGCAACCUUUUACUUCUGAACUCAUAAAUGAAAUUCUCAUUUCACUUGGUGAGCAAAACAUUAAUUGAAUAACGGAAUUAUGUUAUUGACAUCUUUUUUUCUUUUUUUUUUUCCUCCUUGUAACAGCUUCUUUAUGAAACAUGUCUCUGCGUCUGGCUCUUGUCUUACUAUGAACCUGCAGUGGAGUACUUGGCAACUACUAGAACCCUGCCACGACUAAUAGAUGUUGUUAAGAGUUCCACAAAGGAGAAGGUGAGAUCUAGUUUCUUGGUAGUAUUUAAUGUUAGUAAAGGCUCACUGCUGCACAAGAUGAGUGUCAUCCACUUGAAUACUAUUAACUUGUUAUACAUACAUAUAUAUAAAUAUAUAUAUUGGCUUGUGGUAGAAGUAGGCUAUUUUCUUAUCCAAAAGAAUUCGUUCCUUUGUUCAUAUGGUUAUUGAGAUAGGCUUAUCCUGCUAGGUUGUCAGGGUGGUGGUCUUGAUCCUUAGGAACUUGCUUCCCAAAGGUAAUUUUGCUGCUCAGAUGAUAGACCUUGGACUACCUCAAGUUGUUCAAAGUUUAAAAGCACAAGCAUGGAGUGAUGAGGUAAGAGAAGUUGCUCGCUGUUUAGUUUUUCUUUUUCGGCUGAUUGCAUAAUUAUUUAGUUAAUAGAUCGAGUAAAAUUAAGGGAGUUGAUGGCGCUGUUUGCUACUGAUUGGUGCAUUUGGUGAUCAUUUUAUAUGGAUUAAAAAUUUACUUCAGCUUCUGUGAAGUAUGGUGUGGUAGAAUAGUCAGUUGCUUGUGUGAUGACAAAAACUACUGUUAUUUUUGUUCAUUAUAUGAAUAUUAGUGUUGUUUUGGUGCAUAAUUGAUGAUAGAAGGUAUGCUUACCAGAGUCUUUUUACCCCAUACUUGGGAUCGGCUAGUCAAUUAUGAUUUUGAUACCAUUACGCCCUAUUAUUCCUUUGUUCAGCAUGGAAUAGUUUUGUUUCAAUCCACACUUUGAUUGAAGCUCUGGCCGGCGAAAGUGCUGACUACUAUUGCACGGACCUACACUAUCUUUGACAACUUGAGACAUUUAUCCUGGGACAAUGUUACCUCUAAUGGCUGACAAAUGCCUGCUUUAUUUAAUUCUCAAGCACCUGUCAUCUGAGCAAUGUUAACUCAAUUAAUUGUGCCUUUUUUAUUACCACAUUUUCUUUGGCCUUGAACCAUUCAAUUUUGCCAAGGCUUGACUCUUUUUCCUCAUGAUGAACUGAAGCUGUAUACUGCUUUUGUGGAAUCUUGGUAUCCAACACAAAAUGAAGAUUUCAGCCUUCAAACUUAUAAUGCAAGAUAUUAGAUUGAGUUUGGGUGGCUCCUGAAUAAUGCCAAAAAGAAUUGAGUCUUGACCACCAUUGCUGAAUUUUGUUUAACCUAUAACACAAUGAUGACUUCAUCUUGCCACAUUUACAUAUAAUAGAUUUCAAUAUCUUCUUAGGAUUUACUAGAGGGUCUGAAUCAACUGGAAGAAGGUUUGAAGGAUAAUAUUAAGAGAUUGAGUUCUUUCGACAAGUACAAGCAAGAAGUCCUCCUUGGCCAUCUCGACUGGUCCCCUAUGCACAAAGAUCCCCUAUUCUGGCGUGAUAAUAUCACAAACUUUGAAGAAAAUGAUUUCCAGGUAUAUCUUUUCCCCAUGGACAGUGUUUCUAGUUUUUAUUUUUCAUUUUUCUGCUUUAACUUCACUGAGUGACUUGGCAUCAUUUUGUAUAAAGAAAUACAAAGUUUCUGUAAUACUAACGGAUAAUCUUCUCUCUCAGAUUCUAAGGGUCCUCUUAACAAUUUUGGAUACAUCCAGUGAUCCACGAGCUCUUGCUGUCGCCUGCUUUGAUCUGUCACAGUUUAUCCAGUACCAUCCAGCUGGGCGGGUCAUUGUGACGGACCUCAAAGCCAAGGAACGGGUGAUGAAAUUGAUGAACCAUGAGAAUACCGAGGUUACCAAGAGCGCCUUACUCUGCAUCCAAAGGCUUUUCCUAGGCGCAAAGUACGCGAGCUUUUUGCAGGCCUGAAUUCUCUUUGCAUGGGGUCCAGUAUUGUUUACAAAGGAAAUGCUUGUAAUGAUUUGAUUCCAGUUUGGCUGUGGUUAGGUUGUUUAUUUAUUUAUCAAUCAUUGGAGGAAUUUAUGAAUCAGGGGAACUCGUCUGUUGGAUUUUUUUAAGUACUGUGAAGAAUUAGUUGAUUUUUUACCAUAUUUUGGAAAUUUAUUUUGUUUUUGAGAUGAGGAAUAAAUUGAUACCAUCUCUACUGACCUUUGAUAUGAAAACUACUCGAGCGCAUGAUGUAUAUCUGUUUUUGUUCAUUUCUGUAUCUUGCUGCUGACUGAAGCUGGAUUUUCAGGCUCGUUAUUAUCAUUUAUUCUUUUGAAGUUGCAAAAUGAAUUCUCAAUAUUUUCAGGGGAAAUGCUUAUAAUUAGCGCGGAGUUAAACAUUGAUUGUGUACUGUAGACUUCCAAAAGGCAAUUUAUUUCCAUUUAUUUGAGUAAACUAAAUCUCCGUGAUGGUAGCACUUAUUUAAUCACUUAUUAAAAAAUUCUUUGAAAAUUUGAUGAUUGUUGUUGAAAACAUUUACUAAUUGUAAAUGCGUUAAAUUACCCUUCCUUCUUCGUUUGCCGUCGUCACGAUGACCGGAAAAGGUACCCACCCCACUCCCUCUUUUGAUCAUCAUUUCGCAUACACUUUUCUUAAAUUUAAUUUUUUUUUAAAUUUUUUUCUCAUGUACCCUUGUGAUUCUUUUGCAUUCUUUAUUGGAUGUUAUUAAUUAUUAUUAAAAAAUUCUAAAAAAUAAAUAAAAAUCACGGCAGCUAGGAGUUGAAUGAAACUAUGGACUCUUUUUGAUAUUGUGGGAUUUGUGUCUGGGUGUGAGUGCACACAUUUUGAUCGGUAGCUAACUAAUGGAUGUCAUUUUUCCAUGUAUCAAUUUUCAGUUCAUAAUUUGUGUCUGAGUGUGAGUGCACAAAUUUUGAUCUGUAACUAAUUAAUGGAUAUCAUUGUUUAAAAUGUGAAAAAUUUAGUUUAUUCUAUGCUAGUUUUUCAUAACAUGAGUUGGACUGAGCUCAGUCAGUUGAUGCUCCAUGUUUUUGAUUCAUUGAAGGUACUAUGAAUUGGGACCUGAUGAUCCGCCAUAUGCUGCCAAGUUUUACGACUGCUGCGGGGCCGAGGAUGCUGAUGCCUCUGGUUGUACCACUGGCUUCCAUGUCUCUUAUGAUGAUGAUUAACAUAAUUUUUACCUCCUAAUCACCUGUAACUAUAGAUUAAAUUUGUAGAUAUCUCCGUGUCUCCUCCUGUGACCCACAUCAUUUCCACUGUUCUACCACUGUAUAAUUCAGGCCUUUCAUCAGUUUAUCUCUUCAUUUCUCAACAUUUUUCUUUUUUUUUUUUUCCUGGGGUUGAUCUGGCAUGAAUUCGACAUGUGCUGCUAUGGCCAACUUUCGAGGGAUGAUGGUAAAUCUAAACCCUUUUCCAUAAACUUCUGCAAUUAGUUGGUCUAGGGCAUUUGAAGAGCUUAUACUGGAAGCCAUUGCCUUCCCACAUCUUAAGUAAAGAGUAAUGCUACUUUGACAGAAAUAGGUUUACAAAAUUUUGACAUACUUAUGAAAUACUAAAUUACCUUUUAGUUUAUUUACAGAUAGCGAAUUGGGCUUUUUACAUAUUUUUGUAAGAAUCAACCUAAACUUAUAUUCAGGAAAGAAAUAACUGCAGAGGAGAAAAAAGUAAUGAGGCGAUAGAAAAUUAUGCCAAAAUUAAUAGUAAGGCAUUUGAGAUUGCAGUAGAACUUCUCAAUAAUCAUAUUAUUAGGAUCAAUUGAUUUUGUUACUAUAAGGAGGUUAAAACUUUGUAGAGGUUUAGUUCAAAAUUACUAUCUUGACUUCAUUAUUCUUAGUGUAAGUAAGAUAAUUAAUAAAUAAUUAAUGAAGUGUGUCAAUUCUAUGAAGCUUCAAACAUGCUUGAAUACUUAAAAAUAUUUUGUCUUCAACAAGAAGGUGUGUAUAUUAUUGAAUUAUUUUUGCAAUAUACAAAUAAUUAUUAUUAUGUGGAGGCAAUUUCAAAGAUGUGAUAACAAUUUUAAAGAAUAAAUCAUUGUCUCAAACAAUUUUAAAAAAUAUUUUUUUCUAUACUAAAUCUUUUAAAGUAACAAAUAUGUUUUGCAAUACACAUAUAAUUAUUAUUAUGUGGAGAUAAGUUACUAAAGUCAGAAUCUAAAACACUUAUUACAAUUAGAGUUAAUUCUUAUUUAUAAUUUACUUAAAUUAAAGUUAAAAUUUUUUUAUCACUAUAAAAGAGUUAUUUCUAUAUAGAUAAUCACUAUAAAUAUAGAGUAUCACUAUAAAAAAGUUUUACGAUCAAUCAUCCGUCAUAAUAAGCACAAGAAUGACAAGUUUUGAUUCUCAAAUAAAUUCUUAUAAAACACAACCAUGGAUUAAGAUUGUCGGGAAAUGGGAAUGCAAUACAAAGUAAUUAAUGACACAGUCUCAGUGUUUCACUUACACGUGAAGCAAACGAAACAAGAAGAAUCUUAAGAAAAAAACACUCACCAGAACGCAAGGUUCAAUCCCGGUUUACUACGUCAACCUCCAUUCCUCAAAGAGAUUGGAAACACGUCAACCUUCAUCUCCACCAGUAUUCACCUCCACGAAUAAGAAUUCUGCGCCCAUUUGCACUAUUUGAAUCGAGUGGAAGCUUUUUAAGCGAAUCGCAAACCCAAACUUGCAAUACUUUCAGACGUGGGAGAGGCAAGGGCUUCCAGUAAAUGCUCUUCAAACGGACCAGUCCUCCUAACUCAAGACGCUGGAGUUUUGCAAAAGGGCUGUUUAUUAUUCCCGUCAUCUCAGGAAUGUCAUCAAACUCUCCAGCACUGAUUAUUUCUUCCAUGUCAUCGCAAUAGCUUACGGAAAUAGACUUGAGGUUUGGAGCAAAAACGAGGAAUGUCAAGUGUUUCAAAUUUCUGCAAAAGCGUACGGUAACUUUCUCAAGGCUGCGGAAAACAUAAGGUUGGCGCGAUUUUUGUACCAUAUCAUUGCAGUCAAUCUUCAGUCCCUUAAUACAACCACAACUAAAAAAGUCUAAUGUAUUGAGCUGCUCUAGAUCGGCUAAAUCUGCAACAUCGAUCGACUCCUCCCUAUCGAAGCGAUGGAGCAAGAGAGCUUGAGUACAACUUCGUAACUUCUGUGAGCUCAAAAAUGUUUGGUAAGCCUCAAAACUCCUGAAGGAGAUCUCCAGUACCUCUAAAUAUUUCAAACCGAGCAAUUCCUCUGCUACAUUCUCAUGCCAAGAGCUAAGUAAAAAACCAGUAGCAAACAUUCUCAACACACGUAACCUUGAAAAAUUAGAUAACAGUUGCUGUGGAACUACAACUAACUCUUUUGCCCAGACCAAAUUCAAACAUUUAAGAUUUACCAACGCUUUUAACUCUUCGGGUAACUCUGUAACGCUUGUAUUUGAAAUAUCAAGGAGUUGUAGUGAAACCAACUUUGAGAUCCCCAUUGGUAACUGCCGUAGCGUUUCAUUAUCUGACAUCUUCAAAACUGUUAGACAAGACAUAGACUGGAAGAAGCCACCGGUGAUCGUCCUCAACGGAUUACGGUUAAGAAACAAAGUAAGAAGAUGAGGGCAUGUCGGAACAGUUGGUAGAUUAUCAAUUGAAUUUCUCAUCAAUGAUAAUCUUCUCACAAUUUCCCAUCCUCUGACAUCUGCCUCCCUUAAUCCGGAACCUGCAUAAACCAAAAAGCCCUCCUUCUCCUUCUCAAUCUCACAAGUUAUCCACAAUGCCAUAUCGCGGAUGACGUCAUGCAUUUUUACUUGAUCAUCUUCUACCUCUUCCAAUAAACAUGCAUGAACAAGAGUGCCCACGAUAUAGUAUCCUCGGUUUUGUGUGCCAAACUUGUCUUCUUCCAAAAACCCCUCGCACAUCCAGCAAUCAAUCAAGUCUCUUUUAUCUAUGCCGUAAUCUUCCGGAUAUAAACAACAAUAUAAGAAACAAGAUCUGAUUGCAUCGCUUGGCAAGCAAUCAUAGCUGAAUUUUAAAAGAGGAUAUACCUCCUUUCCCAAACCUGUAAAUUCGGAAGCUGAUCUUCUUAAAACUUCAAUCGCAUAUCUCCAUUCUUCAGGAGUCUUUUUGUAGGCCAUGGCUCGACCAAUAGUAAUAAGCGCGAGCGGCAAUCCACCGCACUCCUUUGCCACAGUUUGAGCUAGUUGAGGAAUACUAUGAUGACUCUCAAUAGUUUCUUCCCCAACUUUCUCUCGAAAUAGUUCCCAAGCAUCCUCAUCGGAUAAGCAUGCCACUUUGAACUUCGUUCGAGCUUCCAUACCGCCACAAACAUCAACGAAACGGGUUGUAAAUACUACUGCACUAUUCUUUGGAAGAGGGACACCAAUCUUCUUUAGAUCAACCCGCUCCCAUAGAUCAUCCAACAACAAAGCAAACUUCUUCUUGCUUAAAGUCUUGAAGAUGUCCUGAGCUUUCUCUUCGAGACUUUUGUCCUUCCAUGAAUCAUUAUAUAGACCUAUCUUUUUCCCGAUAGUUUCUUGAAUUUUUUCAAGCUGCAGGUCUUUUGACACCACAACCCAAAUCACAGAAUCAAAAUCUGUUGGAUUAUCAACAAAUUUAUUAUUGAUUUGGGUUAACAGUGUAGUUUUACCGACACCGCCCAUGCCGUAUAGGCCAAUUAUACCAGCUGCAGGUUCUUGUACAAGACAUCUCCAAACUUGUUCAAGUUGUGAUUGCAAGCCUACCACCGUUGGCUCAGUAGGUCUUUCAUCUGCCACAGAUAUUAAUUCUGGAUCUGGCGCGGCCACCUCUUCAAAAACUCCUUCCCCCUUUAAGGCCUUCACAUCUCGCAGCCUUUUAGCAACUUUUCUACCAAACUUGUAGCUUGACUUGCAGUUCCUGGAGCAGUAGCCUCCAAGACACAAUUUGUCAAUUUCCUGAGAGCCACCAUCUCUUCCCAUGAGUUCAUCAACUUCAGUUUUAAGAGUCUCCACCCUCGAAAGCCAAACCUGCACUUGGUUCAGCCUCUUCAUUUUGUGUUGGUGUUCAGCAUUGAGGACCCUCGUCAUCACAUCAUUCUUUGCAGCGAUUAGUUGUUCCAAUUCAGUCGUCAAGGCAACAACAUUAUCUUUGAGGUCAGUUAUAUAUGCCGCUUUGCCAAGAGCGCAGUCUGGGCAACGAUUGAACAUUGCGCCAACAUCGCAAGAGAUUUGCAAAAUGUUACCCAUAAUGGAUCUCACUUGUAUGUAUGAAUUCAACCAAGAGAGAAACAAAGGAAUUUAACUUCACCAGUUUGAUGAACAGAAGCUGCUGUCGCGGAUUAAUUGAGAUAGAACAUUAGUUAUUGAAUAAUGUAAUCAGCUCUGUUUGUACCCAACUCACUAAAAAAAGUAACAAAAAGGAACAUUAGUUAUUGAAUAAUGUCCAAUACGUAUUAGCAAAGUGGGUAAGUUAUAUUUAAUGUAACCUACGGUCAGUCUGUGAAAUUGUAUCUAGUCUCCUAUGUUCUAUGUUAUUUAUAUUUUAUUCAUAAAUAUUAUAAAUAUUUUGAAAUAUAAAAUUCCGUUUAACCCCUUAUACUCAAUUUUAUUUUAUUGAAACCCUAGAGUAUGAAUUCCCCCCAUAAUUUUAAAUUCUCAAAAUAACCUCCAUUUAAUUAAAAAAUAUAAUUAUUUUUAAAUAAAUUAUAAUUAUAAUUAUUAUUUUAUUAUAAUCAUAAAUAUUUUUUAAAAUAGAUUAUUAUUAUUAUUAUUAUUAUUAACAAGAAUAAAAAGCAUUAUAAUUAAUUAAUCUAUUAACAAUAAUUAAUAAUAUUUUUUAUUAAAUUGUUAAUAAUAAUAAUAAUUAAUGAUUAUCUAACUAAUAGGAAAUGUAUUGCUAAUGCUACCUUCGACUUUAAAUACUCAUUAUCGGGUUUCAAGAGACCAAUGAAUGACAAUUUCUGUCAAAAUUUUAAGCUUGACCCAAUAAAAAUAAUUUUACAUUUAAAAAACUAGAAGUAAGAAAAAUGUGUUUACAUCCUCGAAGGUGUAACAACUUAGCAAAAAGCACUUAAAAAUUACCGUUUAAUAAUGAGAUGCCUACGAAACUAUUAUUUAUCAAAGUAACAAAAAAUCCUGAAAGUACUUGAAAUUAAAAAGUAUAGAAAUAUAAAAGAGUCUCCUACAUAAAUAUGGACUCAAUGUUUAUUCCAUUUUAUUAUAAUCAUAAAUAUGUUAAUUAUCAAAAUUUCUGUCAAAAUUUUUGUUUCCUCCUUUCUAUCUUUCAUAUCAGCAUUAUUUUUGUCUUGAUUAUUGAAUAGUUGAAUAUGUAUGUGUGUGGGGGCAUAUAAUAUAUAGUACUUAGAUUUUGUUUAAUUUUCUAUUGUUAACUUGAUUAUUUGUGGCAUUAAUUUAAUAUGAUUUACAUCUUUUUGGUUGUAGUAUUGAUGAGGUUCCUUUAUAUGAUGACCCAAUUUUUUUUUUUUUUUUUUGGUCUUCAUUUGUUUAAUUAUGAGAAAAAUAAAAUAGUAAUAAGAUUGGUCAAUUUGGGUAAACAAUUAAUGAACUAAUGUAGUAUAUCUCAUCUCACUCCCCUAGCAUAUCAUAAAUUUCCAAAAUUUGUCUUCAAUCGAUUAAACAUAAAUUUCAAAAUUCUUUAAAAAAAAAAAAGCCAAUACCGAUCCUUUAAAGUUUAAAACAUCCAAAAAGGAAAAAAAAAAAAAAAUCAUCUAUUAGCAUAUGGUAAAAGCAUAAUUCGACUAAAGUUGGGACAUGGCAUGUGGUAGACAUGUGGAUUGAUUGCUUGUGUUAUUGAAUCGUUGUAUCAUCGACUUCGCAUUAUUAAUAAGCUUUUUAACUUUUAUGAUUUUAUAAUAAACAGUAGGGGUUUAAGUGUUAAUAACCAAUUGAACACAUUUCAACGGUUGAACACUUUAACCCUCGUAUCAAAUGGCUGAACCAGAAAAUGACAAAGUUUGGGGUACCGUGCAACUGUUGCACGGUAGGCGGACCCUAUUGAAUAAUGUAAUCAAGUCAUGGGUAGACGGAUGAAUCCUAUAAAUCUAUAGGCGGACCCUAUAGAUUGAUUAGUCAAGUAAGGGAAAUGGGUCCGUAACUUUCAAGCAAGACUUGACGUCCUGUCCCUUGCCUCCUCACCAUACCAUUAAAGUUUUGAAGUUAGGCCAAUUAGAUUAAAGGUGAGAUGGAAUGGAUUUAUGGAGUCGUUGAUUACUGAACGUAUUUGCCAAUCUAUUGGACGUAUUAAAGUUCUUUCCCUUUCAACAUUAUUGAACGUAUUUUGCAGGGAAACCUCCUCUAUCUUUCUUCCCAUUAACGUCCAAUUAAGACUUUUGUGUAUCCAAUUAAUGUCCAUUAACUUGAAGAUUGAAGAGGGCCAGCGUUAUUUCAAAGUCAAGAUUGGCUUAUUAGCUUGCAGAAUUCUUGAUAUGAGUUAAAAAAAUAAAUAAAUAAGGUUGAAAAGGAUUAGGAUUAGCUUAGUUUUUAUUGAUCAUUGAAUUAAUGGUUAGGAUUUAUUUUAUAUUUUACUUUUUUCAUCUAAUUACCAAUCUAGUGGUCAGCACUGAAUUGAAUACUUGUCUAAUUGAAAGGUAAUGGGUAAAAGGUUUUUAAAACUUUAAAUAUUUUUGUGAAUUUUUGAGCAGCAGCCAAAUUCCAAGAUUCUCAACAAUUUUUGAGCCAAUCCCAAAGGAGAUUUAGUUUACUAUACACAUGCCACUUCUUAAUAAUUAAGAUCUACAUAAAUGACUUUUAAUUUUGUAUGAUGAUCUCUUCCUCUUUGGAACAGAUACUCAAAUUUUAUUCAUCGUGACUGUGUUGAUCAAAACCGAUAUUAAUCAAUCUUGUAUUCAAGUACACUCAACCAAUUCUGUUUUCUUACAGAAUUGUUCAGAAAUAAAGAACUGUAAUUACCUCCAAAAUCAAACAAAUAAUAACCAAUAUGUUAUAUUUUUUAAUUGGUUUUUUUCCCCUUCAAAUAAUGGAGUCCAUAGUGCAGUUUUGACUGGCACAUGUACUAAGAUAUGAAAGUUAAUGUACAAAAUGGAAGAAUAAUAAAAUCAUGUCCGAAAUUAUUAAUUCUCAGGUGCAACCUAAAUUUAGAUGUAUCUUAAUUCUUAAAAGGAGAAAAAAAAAAAGAGUCAAUCAUUGUUAGAGCUUCAAGAGCUUUGAGAUCUUAUUGGUUUAUUUUAUUAUUAGUAUUUGGCGUUUUUCGCUUUCAGGAUAGUCGCAACAAAUAGAUUCUUGAAAGAGCGGUGCUAUUGGCACCUUCUUAAAACUCAAUUGAAACCCCAUUUUCAUGUUUAUAGCUUUAUUCUUAGUUAAAAUUACACAAAAGGACAAAAGAAAUUUAAUUAAAAUUUAAUUUUCUUUUCUUUUUGUUACUAAUUCUUCAAACCCAAUAAAUUACUUUAUUGGGAUUUUUGUUAUUUUUGCCUUUAAUUUCUUUUUUUUUUGUAAGUAAAAUAAGUGCCCACUUGGUGAAGAAAAUCCAAUAAUUUGAUAAAAAUCUAAUAAAUUUCUUGGACCUUUUUUUCUUAAUUAUUUCCAAAAUCAUUUUGGAACUAAAAAAAAUUGAAUCCCAUAUACAUUAGAUACUGAAAAUAAAGAGUUUAUGAUGUGUGGGUAUGAACUGCGAAGAGUUAAAAAGAAAAUACGUACAUGGAUUGGGGUUUAAUAAUUUUGUAUUUGUAGUUUUAUGUAAUUUUCUCUGGUGAAAGAGCUGUUAAUGAAAACGGGGUUUCAUAAGAAUAACGAGGGGGUGCCAAUAGUAUUACUCUUCUUGAAAAUCAUAUGAGAAAGACAAAUAGCCCAAAAACAAAGUGCCUGUAUCUUUAAAUUUAUUAUAGAGUAGUAAUUUUUAUUUUUUUUUUAAAAAUUGCUCUACCUUUUUUUUUUCAAAACCUUAACUAAAAUAUUAAAAUUGUGAAAAUUAGGAAUCUGGUCAGGAUGAUAUUCUGAGUCCCAUUUUCAUUUUCAUUUAUUGAAAAUAAGUUGAACAACUGUUCGGUAUAAUGUUCUAAUAAAAUGAAUUAUGAAAUAAAAAAUACAGAUUUUACUUUUGUUUACUCAAAAAGUUGAAGAACGACAUUUUUAUGGUUUUAUUGAAUUUCAAGAAUGGAAGCCAUUCUCUCAUCUUUAUCUUAUAUUAGCGUCCAUGGUAAUUAAAAUGGUUUUUGUAUCAAAUUGAUAAGAUUGAAACAUCUAAUGCUACAAUGGCUUUUGUGAUUAUUUUAAAUUUGAAGUUAAAAUUUGAUAAAACUAAUAAGUUUUAUUGAGCAGAAGAUGAGUGGAAGGACUUUUUCUAUGAUAUUUAGCCGAACAAAAAGAUAAAAUAAAAUGUUCAAGGACUUUAAAAAAAUGUCGUCAUAUUUUGCUUGUACCAAUGAAACAGUAGUUGUGAAAAAGGAUUAAAAUAAUAUUUUCAAAUGAGAUUUUUCUCUAUACCUUAUCAUACCUUUUAUUUGAAUAUCUUUCUUCGUAUAUAAAUUUAUGAUUACAUUUAUCAGAUGCUCUAUAAUAUAUUUCAUUUACUGAAAAUUUUUAUUAUUAAAUGUAAUGAACAAUUUAAUCUUUUUAUAAGUGUUUACUGUGUGAUACCAAAAAAUAAAUAAACUCUAAAUAAUCCAUUGACAUAAAUAUAAACUAUAUGUUUAAGUUAAAAAAAAAAGUUUCAAUCCAAUGCUACCGAACAAGUAUUACAGUUUUUUUAUUUAAAAUAUAAGUUUCAAAAACUCAUACUGAACACAUACUUAUAUUUAGAAUACUAGUUUCAAAAACAUCAUUUUUAUUUUUGUUUUUGUUCUAUAAAAACAUCAAUUGACAAUAAUAAAGACAAAGAAUUGAAAAUUUUAAUAAGAAUUAAUCUAACUACUCUCUUUAAAAGGAAAAAAAAAAGAAAAAAGAAAAAAGAAAAUAUCUAACUACACUCACUUUCUAAAAAUAUUAAUACAUAUAAUUACACUAAAACCCCUAUACAUUUUUAUUUUACCAAAUAAUUAUGUGAUUAAUAUUUAUUUAUAAAAUAUAACAAUUAUGUGAUUAAUAUAAUAUUAAUUUUAUAAUCUCAACUCAAUGGUCAUAUCAAGAGCAUAUUUAAUUAUUUUAUUUUUAAUCUACAAUUGAGAUGUCACACCAUGGAGUUAAAGCGGUUGUUAUCAUUUUGUUUUCUGAUUUAAUUUCUAUUUUAAAAAUAAUUUGAGACCCCGUGAGCAUUCAACGAAUGAUUUGCGAGUUUGGAGGAGUCCAUGCAUAUGGGGCCCACUGGUCGUUUGAUGAUUGAUUAUGUCACAUGAUUCCUGCCACAUACGAUUAUUAUCCACCCUUUAUCUCUUUUUUUUUUUUCUUUAAUAAAUAACCCUCUUUACUCAUUUCACUUCCAAAUUCAUGUUCAUGCCCUUACACUAUUGAUUUAUCUAUUUUUUAUUUUACAUUUUUUUUUACUCUUCCUCAUGUUAUUGUCCCUUUCUUUUUCCUUAGCAGUAAUGUUCCCAAAUUUAAUCGAGAAACAAAGAUAUAAAUGAUAGAACUUAUUAGUUUGAUAAUUUAUAAACUCGCAAUAGAUGAUACUCAUUUUCAUUCCUAGAUAAAUGCAAUACGGCCGUGUAUAAAAUACGUCGAGAUUUGGGAAAAACGUGGCCCUAAGGCCUUUUUAGUAAGAUUAGGGAUUUCACUGAAAUUUAAUUCCUUUAAAAUGUGAAGUUUACGUUUUGCACCCUUUGAAUUUACAGUUUCUUAUUUAUGGCAUCUCAAUUUGGCUUCUCUCGAAUAUGGUCCACGUUAAACCAAAAUUAUAAUUGCACCACUAAAUAUGACAGUACUGGAAAACUAUUUGAAGUGGAAAGUUAGUGAGUUUCUAUUUUUUUUUAAGGAUAUAUUUUAAGUAUUAUAUAGAUAAAAAUUAACUAUCUACCUAAGUAACCAAGCGAGCAAUUUAAACUUUAGACCUCUUUUACAUCAACGGAUUAUGUUUGGCAGACUCAAUUUGUCAAUAACUAGAUAUAUGUUACGACAGACUCAAUUUGGGGCAGAUUCUAAGGUAAGGAAAUUGAAAAUGCCUAUUUUCGAAGGUGAGGAUGCCUAUGGAUGGGUGUAUAGGGUAGAGCGCUAUUUCGCCAUCAAUGGACUCUAAGAAAGGGAAAAAUUGAUGGCGGCGGCGUUAUGUUUGGAGGGAAAGGCCCUUGCGCAGUUUCAAUGGUGAGAACAACGAAAACCGUUGAGGUCAUGGGAUGAGUCUAAAGAUCGGCUAUUGGAGAGGUUUCAGGGCACUCAAGAGGGAGAUUUGCAUGAACAAUUUUUUACUUUGACCCAGGAUAGAAUGGUUAUGGAGUAUAAGGAGAAGUUUGAGUUACUAUUAGGGCGUUUAUGGGGAAUUCCAGAGGCGGUAUUGGAAGGAAAUUUUAUGAAGGGACUGAAGCCAGAAAUCCGAGCCUCGCUACGCUUGCUAAGGUCGAGAGGGUUAGGGGAGUCAAUGGAGUUGGCACAAUUGGUUGAGGAUAAGAGCACGAUAGAACGGGUUAAUAGGAGCAAUUCAGUCAAUUUUUCAUACCAAAACAACACGCCAUUGGUAGGACAGAAAACCCAGACUUUGGGGUUCCAGCGAGAGUUCCAAAGUACACCACUAGGAGGCCAGAAAAUGCAAAUGGUGGAUUUAUAGAGAGAUUCCCAAAGGGAUUGGGAUAGUGGGGCACGACUGGGGGUGACUUUCGAACGCCUCAUGGAGACAGAGAUUCAGGAUAAGAGGGCGAAGGGGUUGUGCUUUCGAUGUGAUGAGAAAUUUUCACCAGGGCAUCGAUGUAAGGAUAAAUCACUACAAGUCCUGACUGUGUGUGAUGAGGAAGAAGGCUAGAAAGAAGCUGAAGAAGAAGACGCAGUAAUUUCCUAGAUUUCACCUUGAGGACAAUGUGUCUUUUUGGGAGGAGAGUAAUGUUUGACCAAUGAAAAUUUAAAUGCAAUUAUAAAGAGGCAAGGGCACUUUAGUAAUCUUAGAGACGGAGACAGUUUAAUAAUUUUAUUAUUAAUUAGGGUUUAAAUAUAAAUAAAAAAUUAUGGAGUCACUUAGAAUUUAUUAGUGUUGUUUUGGUGCAUAAUUGAUUUUGAUACCAUUACGCCCUAUUAUUCCUUUGUUCAGCACGGAGUAAUUUUGUUUUCAUCCACACUUUGAUUGAAGCUCUGCCGGCGAAAGUGCUGACUACUAUUGCACGGACCUACGCUAUCUUUGACAACUUAAGACAUUUAUCCUAGGACAAUGUGACCUAUAGUGGCUGACAAAUGCCUGCUUUAUUUAAUUCUCAAGCACCUGUCAUCUGAGCAAUGUUAAAUCAAUUAAUUGUGCCUUUUUUAUUACCACAUAUCUUCUUUGGCCUUGAACCAUUCAUUUUUGCCAAGGGUUGACUCUUUUUCCUCAUGGUGAGCUGAAGCUGUAUACUGCUUUUGUGGAAUCUUGGCAUCCAACACUAAAUUAAGAUUUCAGCCUUCAAACUUAUAAUGCAAGAUAUUAGAUAGUGUUUGGGUGGCUCCUGAAUAGUGCCAAAAAGAAUGAGUCUUGGCCACCAUUGCUGAAUUUUGUUUAACCUUUAACACAAUGAUGACUUCAUCUUGCUACAUUUACAUAUAACAGAUUUCAUUAUCUUCUUAGGAUUUACUGGAGGGUCUGAAUCAACUGGAAGAAGGUUUGAAGGAUAAUACUAAGAGAUUGAGUUCUUUCGACAAGUACAUGCAAGAAGUCCUCCUUGGCCAUCUCGACUGGUCCCCCAUGCACAAAGAUUCCCUAUUCUGGGGUGAUAAUAUCACAAACUUUGAAGAAAAUGAUUUCCAGGUAUUUCUUUUCCCCAUGGACGGUGUUUCUAGUUUUUAUUUUUCAUUUUUUCUGCUUUAACCGCACUGAAUGACCCUGCUAAUAUCUGUAUCGUCUCGUUCAGCAUCAUUUUGUAUAAAUACCUACAAAGUUUCUGUAAUACUAAUGGAUAAUCUUCUCUCUCAGAUUCUAAGGGUCCUCUUAACAAUUUUGGAUACAUCCAGUGAUCCACGAGCUCUUGCUGUCGCUUGCUUUGAUCUCUCACAGUUUAUCCAGUACCAUCCAGCUGGGCGGGUCAUUGUGACAGACCUCAAAGCCAAGGAACGGGUGAUGAAAUUGAUGAACCAUGAGAAUACCGAGGUUACCAAGAGCGCCUUACUCUGCAUCCAAAGGCUUUUCCUAGGCGCAAAGUACGCGAGCUUUUUGCAGGCCUGAAUUCUCUUUCUAUGGGGUCCAGUAUUGUUUACAAAGGAAAUGCUUGUAAUGAUUUGAUUCCAGUUUGGCUGGUUAGGUUGUUUAUUUAUUUAUCAAUCAUUGGAGGAAUUUAUGAAUCAGGGGAACUCGUCUGUUGGAUUUUUUUAAGUACUGUGAAGAAUUAGUUGAUUUUUUACCAUAUUUUGGAAAUUUAUUUUGUUUGUGAGAUGAGGAAUAAAUUGAUACCAUCUGUACUGACCUUUGAUAUGAAAACUACUCGAGCGCAUGACAUAUAUCUGUUUUUGUUCAUUUCUGUAUCUUGCUGCUGACUGAAGCUGGAUUUUCAGGCUCGUUAUUAUCAUCUAUUCUUUUGAAGUUGCAAAAUGAAUUCUCAAUAUUUUCAGGGGAAAUGCUUAUAAUUAGCGCGGAAUUAAACAUUGAUUGUGUACUGUAUACUUCCAAAAGGCAAUUUAUUUCCAUUGAUUUGAGUAAACUAAAUCUCCGUGAUGGUAGCACUUUUUUAAUCACUUAUUAAAGAAUUCUUUGAAAAUUUGAUGAUUGUUGUUGAAAACAUUUACUAAUUGUAAAUGCGUUAAAAAUUAUUUGAUUCAUUUAGUAUCACUAAUAGUGAUUUAAUUUUUCAUCUUGAUUGAACGAUGAAUUUUGUAUUAAUCCGGAAAAGUGCUACUGUUACUCCAACCACGCGUCGCUUAAAGGUUCAUGUAAUUUGAGACGACUUGUCGUCUAUGUUUUAUUCCGGACCGGUUCACGCAAACUUUAAAGCUUUCGAGUACUCGCGGAGCGGCGAUCGCUAAUCCCUCAAAAGAAGACACACAAGGAAUGGAGACUGAGAAAGUAAAGGAGAAGGAGAAGGAGAAAGUGUGCAAGAGGUGUAAGCAAACGUACACAGCUUCAUCAAACAGCUCUUCUUCUUGCCGCUUUCACCCUUCCUUCUUCGUUUGCCGUCGUCACGACGACCAGAAAAGGUACCCACCCCACUCCCUCUUUUGAUCAUCAUUUCGCAUACACUUUUCUUCAAUUUAUUUUUUUUUAAUUUUUUUCUCAUGUACCCUUGUGAUUCUUUUGCAUUCUUUAUUGGAUGUUAUUAAUUAUUAUUAAAAAAAUUCUAAAAAAUAAAUAAAAUUCACGGCAGCUAGGAGUUGAAUGAAACUCUGAGGCCAGUCCAGUUUGGUAGGAUUCUUUGAUUUACAAAGCAUCGAGUAAUCAGAUUUGCUGGGCAUUCAUUUUGCUUUGUUAUUUUUCCAUGUAUCAAUUUUCAGUUCAUAAUUUGUGUCUGAGUGUGAGUGCACAAAUUUUGAUCUGUAACUAAUUAAUGGAUAUCAUUGUUUAAAAUGUGAAAAAUUUAGUUUAUUCUAUGCUAGUUUUUCAUAACAUGAGUUGGACUGAGCUCAGUCAGUUGAUGCUCCAUGUUUUUGAUUCAUUGAAGGUACUAUGAAUUGGGACCUGAUGAUCCGCCAUAUGCUGCCAAGUUUUACGACUGCUGCGGGGCCGAGGAUGCUGAUGCCUCUGGUUGUACCACUGGCUUCCAUGUCUCUUAUGAUGAUGAUUAACAUAAUUUUUACCUCCUAAUCACCUGUAACUAUAGAUUAAAUUUGUAGAUAUCUCCGUGUCUCCUCCUGUGACCCACAUCAUUUCCACUGUUCUACCACUGUAUAAUUCAGGCCUUUCAUCAGUUUAUCUCUUCAUUUCUCAACAUUUUUCUUUUUUUUUUUUUCCUGGGGUUGAUCUGGCAUGAAUUCGACAUGUGCUGCUAUGGCCAACUUUCGAGGGAUGAUGGUAAAUCUAAACCCUUUUCCAUAAACUUCUGCAAUUAGUUGGUCUAGGGCAUUUGAAGAGCUUAUACUGGAAGCCAUUGCCUUCCCACAUCUUAAGUAAAGAGUAAUGCUACUUUGACAGAAAUAGGUUUACAAAAUUUUGACAUACUUAUGAAAUACUAAAUUACCUUUUAGUUUAUUUACAGAUAGCGAAUUGGGCUUUUUACAUAUUUUUGUAAGAAUCAACCUAAACUUAUAUUCAGGAAAGAAAUAACUGCAGAGGAGAAAAAAGUAAUGAGGCGAUAGAAAAUUAUGCCAAAAUUAAUAGUAAGGCAUUUGAGAUUGCAGUAGAACUUCUCAAUAAUCAUAUUAUUAGGAUCAAUUGAUUUUGUUACUAUAAGGAGGUUAAAACUUUGUAGAGGUUUAGUUCAAAAUUACUAUCUUGACUUCAUUAUUCUUAGUGUAAGUAAGAUAAUUAAUAAAUAAUUAAUGAAGUGUGUCAAUUCUAUGAAGCUUCAAACAUGCUUGAAUACUUAAAAAUAUUUUGUCUUCAACAAGAAGGUGUGUAUAUUAUUGAAUUAUUUUUGCAAUAUACAAAUAAUUAUUAUUAUGUGGAGGCAAUUUCAAAGAUGUGAUAACAAUUUUAAAGAAUAAAUCAUUGUCUCAAACAAUUUUAAAAAAUAUUUUUUUCUAUACUAAAUCUUUUAAAGUAACAAAUAUGUUUUGCAAUACACAUAUAAUUAUUAUUAUGUGGAGAUAAGUUACUAAAGUCAGAAUCUAAAACACUUAUUACAAUUAGAGUUAAUUCUUAUUUAUAAUUUACUUAAAUUAAAGUUAAAAUUUUUUUAUCACUAUAAAAGAGUUAUUUCUAUAUAGAUAAUCACUAUAAAUAUAGAGUAUCACUAUAAAAAAGUUUUACGAUCAAUCAUCCGUCAUAAUAAGCACAAGAAUGACAAGUUUUGAGUCUCAAAUAAAUUCUUAUAAAACACAACCAUGGAUUAAGAUUGUCGGGAAAUGGGAAUGCAAUACAAAGUAAUUAAUGACACAGUCACAGUGUUUCACUUACACGUGAAGCAAACGAAACAAGAAGAAUCUUAAGAAAAAAACACUCACCGGAACGCAAGGUUCAAUCCCGGUUUACUACGUCAACCUCCGUUGGAAACAGAGACGAAAAGCAUUUUGAGUGGCUUCAUCCUCCCAUUGAAGCCUUCUCCACCAGUAUUCACCUCCACGAAUAAGAAUUCUGCGCCCAUUUGCACUAUUUGAAUCGAGUGGAAGCUUUUUAAGCGAAUCGCAAACCCAAACUUGCAAUACUUUCAGACGUGGGAGAGGCAAGGGCUUCCAGUAAAUGCUCUUCAAACGGACCAGUCCUCCUAACUCAAGACGCUGGAGUUUUGCAAAAGGGCUGUUUAUUAUUCCCGUCAUCUCAGGAAUGUCAUCAAACUCUCCAGCACUGAUUAUUUCUUCCAUGUCAUCGCAAUAGCUUACGGAAAUAGACUUGAGGUUUGGAGCAAAAACGAGGAAUGUCAAGUGUUUCAAAUUUCUGCAAAAGCGUACGGUAACUUUCUCAAGGCUGCGGAAAACAUAAGGUUGGCGCGAUUUUUGUACCAUAUCAUUGCAGUCAAUCUUCAGUCCCUUAAUACAACCACAACUAAAAAAGUCUAAUGUAUUGAGCUGCUCUAGAUCGGCUAAAUCUGCAACAUCGAUCGACUCCUCCCUAUCGAAGCGAUGGAGCAAGAGAGCUUGAGUACAACUUCGUAACUUCUGUGAGCUCAAAAAUGUUUGGUAAGCCUCAAAACUCCUGAAGGAGAUCUCCAGUACCUCUAAAUAUUUCAAACCGAGCAAUUCCUCUGCUACAUUCUCAUGCCAAGAGCUAAGUAAAAAACCAGUAGCAAACAUUCUCAACACACGUAACCUUGAAAAAUUAGAUAACAGUUGCUGUGGAACUACAACUAACUCUUUUGCCCAGACCAAAUUCAAACAUUUAAGAUUUACCAACGCUUUUAACUCUUCGGGUAACUCUGUAACGCUUGUAUUUGAAAUAUCAAGGAGUUGUAGUGAAACCAACUUUGAGAUCCCCAUUGGUAACUGCCGUAGCGUUUCAUUAUCUGACAUCUUCAAAACUGUUAGACAAGACAUAGACUGGAAGAAGCCACCGGUGAUCGUCCUCAACGGAUUACGGUUAAGAAACAAAGUAAGAAGAUGAGGGCAUGUCGGAACAGUUGGUAGAUUAUCAAUUGAAUUUCUCAUCAAUGAUAAUCUUCUCACAAUUUCCCAUCCUCUGACAUCUGCCUCCCUUAAUCCGGAACCUGCAUAAACCAAAAAGCCCUCCUUCUCCUUCUCAAUCUCACAAGUUAUCCACAAUGCCAUAUCGCGGACGACGUCAUGCAUUUUUACUUGAUCAUCUUCUACCUCUUCCAAUAAACAUGCAUGAACAAGAGUGCCCACGAUAUAGUAUCCUCGGUUUUGUGUGCCAAACUUGUCUUCUUCCAAAAACCCCUCGCACAUCCAGCAAUCAAUCAAGUCUCUUUUAUCUAUGCCGUAAUCUUCCGGAUAUAAACAACAAUAUAAGAAACAAGAUCUGAUUGCAUCGCUUGGCAAGCAAUCAUAGCUGAAUUUUAAAAGAGGAUAUACCUCCUUUCCCAAACCUGCAAAUUCGGAAGCUGAUCUUCUUAAAACUUCAAUCGCAUAUCUCCAUUCUUCAGGAGUCUUUUUGUAGGCCAUGGCUCGACCAAUAGUAAUAAGCGCGAGCGGCAACCCACCGCACUCCUUUGCCACAGUUUGAGCUAGUUCAGGAAUACUAUGAUGACUCUCAAUAGUUUCUUCCCCAACUUUCUCUCGAAAUAGCUCCCAAGCAUCCUCAUCGGAUAAGCAUGCCACUUUGAACUUCCUUCGAGCUUCCAUACCGCCACAAACAUCAACGAAACGGGUUGUAAAUACUACUGCACUAUUCUUUGGAAGAGGGACACCAAUCUUCUUUAGAUCAACCCGCUCCCAUAGAUCAUCCAACAACAAAGCAAACUUCUUCUUGCUUAAAGUCUUGAAGAUGUCCUGAGCUUUCUCUUCGAGACUUUUGUCCUUCCAUGAAUCAGUAUAUAGACCUAUCUUUUUCCCGAUAGUUUCUUGAAUUUUUUCAAGCCGAAGGUCUUUGGACACCACAACCCAAAUCACAUAAUCAAAAUCUGUUGGAUUAUCAACAAAUUUAUUAUUGAUUUGGGUUAACAGUGUAGUUUUACCGACACCGCCCAUGCCGUAUAGGCCAAUUAUACCAGCUGCAGGUUCUUGUACAAGACAUCUCCAAACUUGUUCAAGUUGUGAUUGCAAGCCUACCACCGUUGGCUCAGUAGGUCUUUCAUCUGCCGCAGAUAUUAAUUCUGGAUCUGGCGCGGCCACCUCUUCAAAAACUCCUUCGCCCUUUAAGGCCUUCACAUCUCGCAGCCUUUUAACAACUUUUCUACCAAACUUGUAGCUUGACUUGCAGUUCCUGGAGCAGUAGCCUCCAAGACACAAUUUGUCAAUUUCCUGAGAGCCACCAUCUCUUCCCAUGAGUUCAUCAACUUCAGUUUUAAGAGUCUCCACCCUCGAAAGCCAAACCUGCACUUGGUUCAGCCUCUUCAUUUUGUGUUGGUGUUCGGCAUUGAGGACCCUCGUCAUCACAUCGUUCUUUGCAGCCAUUAGUUGUUCCAAUUCAGUCGUCAAGGCAACAACAUUAUCUUUGAGGUCAGUUAUAUAUGCAGCUUUGCCAAGAGCGCAGUCUGGGCAACGAUUGAACAUUGCGCCAACAUCGCAAGAGAUUUGCAAAAUGUUACCCAUAAUGGAUCUCACUUGUAUGUAUGAAUUCAACCAAGAGAGAAACAAAGGAAUUUAACUUCACCAGUUUGAUGAACAGAAGCUGCUGUCGCGGAUUAAUUGAGAAUUUGAGAUAGAACAUUAGUUAUUGAAUAAUGUAAUCGGCUCUGUUUGUACCCAACUUACUAAAAAAGUAACAAAAAGGAAAAUUUUGAAAGGUGGAAUGCAGCUGGCAAAGGAAAAAUCAAAGGGCAUGCUUCCCACGUCAAGAUGGUGGUGGUGGUCACCAUCUUUGUGUUUCCUUGACCUUAUCCAAUAUUCAUCAUUUUUGGUCCCACACCAUGUGCUUGACAGUUGUUUCGAUUUUAUCUCUUUUUAUUCCCCCUUUCUUUGUUUCUUUCUUUCUUUCUUUCUUUCAGAUCAGCAUUUUUGUCUUGGUGUGGGCAUAUAAUAUAUAGUACUUAGAUUUUGUUUAAUUUUCUAUUGUUAACUUGAUUAUUUGUGGCAUUAAUUUAAUAUGAUUUACAUCUUUUUGGUUGUAGUGUUGAUGAGGUUCCUUUAUAUGAUGACCCAAUUUUUAUUUUUUUUUGGUCUUCAUUUGUUUAAUUAUGAGAAAAAUAAAAUAGUAAUUAGAUUGGUCAAUUCGGGUAAACAAUUACUGAACUAAUGGAGUAUAUCUCAAUCUCACUCCCCUAGCAUAUCAUAAAUUUCUAAAAUUUGUCUUCAAUCGAUUAAACAUAAAUUUCAAAAUUCUUUAAAAAAAAAUUCGCCAGUACCAAUCCUUUAAAACAUCCAAAAGGGAAACAAAAAAAAAAAAAAAAAACAAACUCAUUUAUGGGCAUAUGGUAAAAGCAUAGUUUGAUUAAAGCUGGGACAUGACAUGUGGUAGACAUGUGGAUCGAUUGCAUAUGUUAUUUGAGUCGUUGUAUCAUCGGCUUCACAUUAUUAAUAAGUUUUUUUCCCCAAAUUCUUCUAAGAAUUAUGCGUAUAUUUUUUAGCAUAAUUGUUGGCUGAUCAGAAACUCUCGAAAGCUGGCCUAUAAUUUAGAUUAAACCAACAAUUAACAUGAGAAGUUAGGCUGGCAGGACAAUGGGAACCAACUCAAAUCUGGUUCCAUUAGCAAGCAGCAGCCAAAUUCCGAGAUUUUCAACAAUUUUGAACCAAUCCCAAAGGGAGAUUUAGUUGAGUAUACAAGAUUUCUCUUUGUCACUAGCCGUGCAUGCCGCUUCUUAAUAAUUAAGAUCUACAUAAAUGACUUUUAAUUUUGUAUGAUGAUCUCUUCCUCUUUGGAACAGAUACUCAAAUUUUAUUCAUCGUGACUGUGCUGAUCAAAACCGAUAUUAACCAAUCUUGUAUUCAAGUACACUCAACCAAUUCUGUUUUCUUACUGAAUUGUUUAUAAAUAAAGAACUAUAAUUACCUCCAAAAGCAAACAAAUAAUAAUCAAUAUGUUAUAUUUUUUUCAUUGAUUUUUUCCCCUUUAAAUAAUGGAGUCCAUAGUGUAGUUCUGACUGGCACAUGUACUGAGAUAUGAAAGUUAAUGUACAAAAUGGAAGAAUAAUAAUAUUCUGUCCGAAAUUAUUAAUUCUCAGGUGCAACCUAAAUUUAGAUGUAUCGUUAAAGGAGUAAAAAAAAAAAAAAGAGUCAAUCAUUGAUAGAGCUUCAAGAACUUUGAGAUUUUAUUAGUUUAUUUUAUUAAGAAAAUUAUCAUUUGUAUACCCUUAGUUUAUUUCAUUAUAAAAAAUACUACAAUACUUUGAGGGUGUAUCAAUCGUCCACCCAAAAUUGAUAAAAUGUAUCAACUGACUACCAAAUCGUUAGUUGCCGUUUAAAUAUGAUGACACUAGGAGGGCAAUUUGGUCUUUUCAUAUGAUACAAGUGAUAAUUUAAGGGUAUACAAGUGACAAAAAGAGAAAUUAAGGGUAUACAAGUGAUAAUUUUUAAGGGUAAAAUCAUCAAUUCACUGUAAUUCUGUUAACUUUCAAACGACAACUAAUGGUUUGGUGGUCGGCUGAUACAUUUUGUCAACUAAGGGUAGACGAUUGAUACACCCUCAAAGUGUUGUAGUAUUUUUAAUAAUAGAAUAAAUAUAGGGUAUACGAAUGAUAAUUUCCCAUUUUAUUAUUAGUAUUUGGCUUUUUUCGCUUGCACGAUAGUCGCAACAAAUAGAUUCUUGAAAAUCAUAUGAGAAAGACAAGCAGCCCAAAAAUAAAGUGCCUAUAUCUUUAAAUUUAUUAAUUUUUAUUUUUUAAAAAAAAAUUGCUCUACCUUUUUUUUUUCAAAACCUUAACUAAAAUACUAAAAUUGCAAAAAUUAGGGACCUGUUCAGGAUGAUAUUUUGAGUCCCAUUUUCAUUUUCAUUUACUAAAAAUAAGUUGAACAACUGUUCAGUGUAAUGUUUUAAUAAAAUGAAUUAUGAAAUAAAAAAUACAUAUUUUACUUUUGUUUACUCAAAAAGUUGAAGAACGACCUUUUUAUGGUUUUGUUGAAUUUCAAGAAUGGAAGUCAUUCUCUCAUCUUUAUCUUAGUUUAGCGUCCAUGGUAAUUAAAGUGAUUUUUGUAUCAAAUUGAUAAGAUUGAAACAUCCAAUGCUGCAAUGGCUUUUGUGAUUAUUUUAAAUUUGAAAUUAAAAUUUGAUAAAACUAAUAAGUUUUAUUGAGCAGAAGAUGAGUGGAAGGACUUUUUCUUUGAUUUUUAGCCGAACAAAAAGAUAAAAUAAAAUGUUCAAGGACUUAUAAAAAAAAAAAAAAAAGUCCUCAUAUUUUGCUUGUACCAAUGAAACAGUAGUUGUGAAAAAGGAUUAAAAUAAUUAAAAUAAUUUUUUCAAAUGAGAUUUUUCUCUAUACUUUAUCAUACCUUUUAUUUGAAAAUCUUUUUUCGUAAAUAAGUUUAUGAUUUCAUUUAUCAGAUGCUCUAUAAUAUAUUUUAUUUACCGAAAUUUUUUAUUAUUAAAUGUAAUGAAGAAUUUAAUUUUUUUAUAAGUGUUUACUGUGUGAUACCAAAAAAUAAAUUGACUCUAUAUAAUUCAUUGACAUAAAUAUAAACUAUAUGUUUAAGGUAAAAAAAAAGUUUCAAUCCAAUGCUAUCGAACAAAUAUUACAGUUUUUAUAUUUAAAAUAUAAGUUUCAAAAACUCAUACCGAACACAUACUUAUAGUCUUAUAUUUAGAAUACUGGUUUCAAAAACAUCAUUUUGAUUUUUAUUUUUGUUCUAUAAAAACAUCGAUUGACAAUAACAAAGACAAAUAAUUGAAAAUUUUAAUAAGAAUUAAUCUAACUACUCUCUUUAAAAGGAAAAAAAAUAUCUAACUACACUCACUUUCUAAAAAUAUAAAUACAUAUAAUUACACUAAAACCCGUAUAAAUUUUUAUUUUAUCAAGUAAUUAUGUGAUUAAUAUUUAUUUAUAAAAUAAAUAUUAAUUUUAUAAUCUCAACUCAAUGGUCAUAUCAAGAGCAUAUUUAAUUAUUUUAUUUUUAAUCUACAAUUGAGACGUCACACCCUAGAGUUAAAGCGGCUUUUAUCAUUUUGUUUUUUUUUAUUUAAUUUCUAUUUUUAAAAUAAUUUUAGACCCUGUGAGCAUCCAACGAAUGAUUUGCCAGUUUGGAGGAGUCCAUGCAUAUGGGGGCCCACUAGUCGUUUGACGAUUGAUUACGUCACGUGAUUCCUGCCACAUACGAUUUUUAUUGAUUAUCCACUCUUUACCCCUUUUUUUUAUUUAAUAAAUAAUCCUCUUUACCCAACUAGUCAGGCUUUUCUCGAGUGGCCAACGGUUCAAGCUUAGGGAUGGUAAUUGUACUCGUAAAUCUGUAAAUUUGUCUAAAUUCAUCUGUCAAAAUUCGUCCGUUGUGGGUAAUUUUAUUAGUUGCGGGCGGGUUUAAUAUUAUAAAUUAAAACCCGCACAUGAAUGGGGGUGGGUUUGAUAUUAAUCUUAUAUCCGGUGGAUACCCGCAUGGAUAUCCAUUAAACCCGCAAUAUUUUUUUCAAAUAUUUUUAAUUUAAUUUAAAUCUAAAAAUGUAUAAAGAAAAUAAUGUCAUUAAUUAAAUUACCAAAUAACCAAAGGCUCAAAGUUGUGUAUGUGUGUAUGUGUGUAUGUGGCCUAUAUCAUAUUCUAAAAUCAUAAUCUAAAGAAAACUAAAGGCAUUUUCCUUCGAAUUAAUAUUUGAAAAUAUUAAUCUUAAUUAUUAUUAUAGGCAUUGUGUUGGAUGGGUGCUUAUGGUGGUGAAUAAAAUGAAUAUCUUCUCUUGGAGCUUGUUUUAAAUGAUAAUAUGAAAUGUAAUUAUUAUUUUUAGAUAUUAGUUUGUGUUUUUUAAAUGGAUUUGUGUAAUUUAUACUUAAAUUUGAGAAUUUAUGUUGAAUUGAUGUGGAAAUUUUAAUUUUUCAUUUACAUUAUUUAAAUAUAAAAUUGAGUAUGUUAUAUGGAAUUUGAGGUUAUUAUUAUAAAUUUAUAUAUUAAACAUUUGUGAUUUUAAAUACGGAAACCCGCAAAAAAUCCGCCGGAUACCAUUGCGGGUUUGGUAAUUGUUAAAACCCGCUGCGGGUGGGUUUUUGUAAAAAAAUUAAAACCCGCUGCGGGUUACCGGUGGGUUUGGUAGUUUAAAUUUUGUGCGGGUUUGGGUUUGGUAAUGGCAAACCCGCUACGGGCAGUGCCCAUUGCCAUCCCUAUUCAAGCCCCGGGAUGUAUAUAGAGAUUUUCUUUUAAUUAUGCUAUAUAAUUAAGUGAAUGCUGUGUUUUAUCUUUUGAAAAAUGAGUAGAAUAAAUAUUCUUUGAAUAGUGAUAAAUUAAUUUCAAUAAUUGACUGAUUGUAAAUAUUAGUUGUAAUUUCAUACAAUAUGAGUUGUAAUUUGAGUGUUAAUAUCAUGUAAUUAAAAAUAAAAAAUAAUCUUCUUUACUCAUUUCACUUCCAAUUUCAUGUUGAUGCCCUUACAUUAUUGAUUUAUCUAUAUUUUUUUUAUUUUACACAUUUUUUUUGGACUCUUCCUUUUGCUUUUUCUUUUUCCUCAGCUAUAAUGUUCCCAAAUUUAAUAGAGAAACAAAGCUAUAAAUGAUCAAUUUAUUAGUUUGAUAAUUUACAAACUCGCAAUAGAUGAUACUCAUUUUCAUCCCUAGAUGAAUGCAACAUGGUCGCGGACAGAAUACAUCGAGGCUCGGAAAGAACGUUGGCCUAAGGCAUUUUUAGAAAGAUUAGGGAUUUAACUGAAAUUCAAUUCCUUUAAAAUGUGAAGUUUACGUUUUGCACCCUUUGAAUUUACAGUUUCUUAUUUAUGGCAUCUCAAUUUGGCUUCUCUCGAAUAUGGUCCACGUUAAACCAAAAUUAUAAUUGCACCACUAAAUGUGAUAGAGAUGAAAAAAUAUUUGAAGUGGAAAGUUUGUGAGUUUCUAUAUUUUUUUAAGGAUAUAUUUUAAGUAUUAUAUAGAUAAAAAUUAACUAUCUACCUAAGUAAUCAAGCGAGCAAUUUACACUUCAGACCUCUUUUACAUCAACGAUUUAUGUUUGGCAGACUCAAUUUGUCAAUAACUAGAUAUAUGUUAUUACAGACUCAAUUUGGGGCAUAUUCUAGGGUAAGGAAACUGAAAAUACCUAUUUUCGAAGUUGAGGAUGCCUAUGAAUGAGUGUAUAGGGUAGAGCGCUAUUUCUCCAUCAAUGGACUCUAAGAAAGGGAAAAAUUGAUGGCGGCGGCGUUAUGUUUGGAGGGAAAGGCCCUUGUGCGGUUUCAAUGGCGAGAACAACGACAUCGUUAAGGUCAUGAGGUGAGUCUAAGGAUUGGCUAUUGGAUAGGUUUCGGGCCACUCAAGAAGGAGAUUUGUAUGAAUAGUUUUUUACUCUGACCUAGGAUAGAACGGUUAUAGUUUGAGUUGCUAUCAGGGCGUCGAAGGGGAAUUCCAUAGGCGGUAUUGGAAGGGAAUUUUAUGAAGGGACUGAAGUCAGAAAUCCGAGCCUUACUAUGCUUGAUAAGGCCGAGAGGGUUAGGGGAGUCAAUGGAGUUGGCACAAAUGGCUAAGGAUAAGAACACAAUAGAACAGGUUAAUAGGAGCAAUUCAAUCGAUUUUUCAUACCAAAACAGCAUGCCAUUGGUAGGAUAGAAAACCCAGACUUUAGGGUUUAAACGAGAGUUCCAAAGUACACCACUGGGAGGCCAGAAAAUGCAAAUGGUGGAUUUAAAGAGAGAUUCCCAAAGGGAUCGGGAUAGUGGGGCACGACAUGGGGUGACUUUCAAACGUCUCAUGGAGACAGAGAUUCAGGAUAAGAGGGUGAAGGGGUUGUGUUUUUGAUGUAAUGAGAAAUUUUCACGAGGGCAUCGAUGUAAGGAUAAAUCACUACAAGUCCUAACUGUGUGUGAUGAGGAAGAAGGCCGGGAAGAAGCCGAGGAAGAAGACGCAGUAGUUUCCAAGAUUUCACCUUGAGGACGAGGUGUCUUUUUGAGAGGGGAGUAAUGUUAGACCAAAGAAAACUAAGGUGCAAUUACAAGGAGGCAGGGGCACUUUAGUAAUCUUAAGGGCAGAGACAGUUUAAUAAUUUUAUUAUUAAUUAGGGUUCAGGUAUAAAUAAGAGAUUAUGGAGUCACUUAAGAUUUAUGUUGGGUUUUGUCUAGUGUUAAGAAUAAUUAAGAGUUUGGGAGAGAUUGACUUACCUCUUGUAGGUCAAGAUUGUUAUUUAUUUUUAUCAAUCAAUAAAAAAUCAACCCUAAUUUAACUCUAAGUCAUAUCAUAACGGAAUUUGUGUUAUUGACCUCUUCUUUUUUCCCUUUUCCUUCUUCUUGUAACAACUUCUUUACGAAACAUGUCUCUGCGUCUGGCUCUUGUCUUACUAUGAACCUGCAGUGGAGUACUUGGCAACUAAUAGAACCCUACCACGACUAAUAGAUGUUGUUAAGAGUUCCACAAAGGAGAAUGUGAGAUCUGGUUUCUUGGUAGUAUUUAAUGUUAGCAAAGGCUCACUGCUGCACAAGAUGAGUGUCAUCCACUUGAAUACUAUUAACUUGUUAUACAUACGUAUAUUUAAAUAUAUUUAUAUUGGCUUGUGGUAGAAAUACGCUAUUUUCUUAUCCAAAAGAAUACGUUCUUUUGUUCAUAUGGUUAUUAAGAUAGGCAUAUCCUGCUAGGUUGUCAGGGUGGUGGUCUUGAUCCUUAGAAACUUGCUUCCCAAAGGUAAUUUUGCUGCUCAGAUGAUAGACCUUGGACUACCUCAAGUUGUUCAAAGUUUAAAAGCACAAGCAUGGAGUGAUGAGGUAAGAGAAGUUGCUCGCUGUUUAGUUUUUCUUUUUCGGCUGAUUGCAUAAUUAUUUAGUUAAUAGAUCGAGUAAAAUUAAGGGAGUUGAUGGCGCUGUUUGCUACUGAUUGGUGCAUUUGGUGAUCAUUUUAUAUGGAUUUAAAAUUUACUUCAGCUUCUGUGAAGUAUGGUGUGGUAGAAUAGUCAGUUGCUUGUGUGAUGACAAAAACUACUGUUAUUUUGUUCAUUAUAUGAAUAUUAGUGUUAUUUUGGUGAUAAUUGAUGAUAGAAGGUAUGCUUAUCAGAGUCUUUUUACCCCAUACUUGGGAUCGGCUAGUCAAUUAUGAUUAUGAUACCGUUACACCCUAUUAUUCCUUUGUUCAGCAUGGAAUAAUGUUGUUUCCAUCUACACUUUGAUUGAAGCUCUGGCUGGCAGAAAGUGCUGACUACUAUUGUACGGACCUACACUAUCUUUGACAACUUGAGACAUUUAUCCUACGACAAUGUUACCUAUAAUGGCUGACAAAUGCCUGCUUUAUUUAAUUCUCAAGCACCUGUCAUCUGAGCAAUGUUAAAUCAAUUAAUUGUGCCUUUUUUAUUACCACAUAUUUUCUUUGGCCUUGAACCAUCCAAUUUUGCCAAGGCUCGACUCUUUUUCCUCAUGAUGAACUGAAGCUGUAUAUUGCUUUUGUGGAAUCUUGGCAUCCAACACUAAAUUAAGAUUUCAGCCUUCAAACUUAUAAUGCAAGAUAUUAGAUUGUGUUUGGGUGGCUCCUGAAUAGUGCCAAAAAGAAUGAGUCUUGGCCACCAUUGCUGAAUUUUGUUUAACCUUUAACACAAUGAUGACUUCAUCUUGCUACAUUUACAUAUAAUAGAUUUCAUUAUCUUCUUAGGAUUUACUGGAGGGUCUGAAUCAACUGGAAGAAGGUUUGAAGGAUAAUACUAAGAGAUUGAGUUCUUUGGACAAGUACAUGCAAGAAGUCCUCCUUGGCCAUCUCGACUGGUCCCCCAUGCACAAAGAUCCCCUAUUCUGGCGUGAUAAUAUCACAAACUUCGAAGAAAAUGAUUUCCAGGUAUUUCUUUUCCCCAUGGACGGUGUUUCUAGUUUUUAUUUUCAUUUUUUCUGCCUUAACUUCACUGAAUGACUCCUGCUAAUAUCUGUAUCGUCUCGUUCAGCAUCAUUUUGUAACUAAUGGAUAAUCUUCUCUCACAGAUUCUAAGGGUCCUCUUAACAAUUUUGGAUACAUCCAGUGAUCCACGAGCUCUUGCUGUCGCUUGCUUUGAUCUCUCACAGUUUAUCCAGUACCAUCCAGCUGGGCGGGUCAUUGUGACGGACCUCAAAGCCAAGGAACGGGUGAUGAAAUUGAUGAACCAUGAGAACACCGAGGUUACCAAGAGCGCCUUACUCUGCAUCCAAAGGCUUUUCCUAGGCGCAAAGUACGCGAGCUUUUUGCAGGCCUGAAUUCUCUUUCUAUGGGGUCCCGUAUUGUUUACAAAGGAAAUGCUUGUAAUGAUUUGAUUCCAGUUUGGCUGUGGUUAGGUUGUUUAUUUAUUUAUCAAUCAUUGGAGGAAUUUAUGAAUCAGGGGAACUCGUCUGUUGGAUUCUUUUAAGUACUGUGAAGAAUUAGUUGAUUUUUUACCAUAUUUUGGAAAUUUAUUUUGUUUUUGAGAUGAGGAAUGAAUUGAUACCAUCUGUACUGACCUUUGAUAUGAAAACUACUCGAGCGCAUGACAUAUAUCUGUUUUUGUUCAUUUCUGUAUCUUGCUGCUGACUGAAGCUGGAUUUUCAGGCUCGUUAUUAUCAUCUAUUCUUUUGAAGUUGCAAAAUGAAUUCUCAAUAUUUUCAGGGGAAAUGCUUAUAAUUAGCGCGGAAUUAAACAUUGGUUGUGAACUGUAUACUUCCAAAAGGCAAUUUAUUUCCAUUGAUUUGAGUAAACUAAAUCUCCGUGAUGGUAUCACUUAUUUAAUCACUUAUUAAAGAAUUCUGUGAAAAUUUGAUGAUUGCUGUUGAAAACAUUUACUAAUUGUAAAUGCGUUAAAAAUUUAUACAAUAUUGAGAAUUCAAACAGCUCCAUGUCUCCUCCAUUGACACACAUCAUUCCCCACUGUUCUACCAUUAUAUAAUUCAGGUCUUUCAUCAGUUUAUCUCCUCAAUUUUGAACAUUUAUUAUUAUUAUUAUUAUUUUUUCCUGGGGUUGAUCUGGCAUGAAUCAGACAAGUGCUGCUAUGGCCAAACUUUCCCGGGAUGGUAAAUCUCAACCCUUUUGCAGAACUCUUAACUUCUGAAAUUAGUAGGUCUAUGAAAUUUGAAGAGCAUAUGCUGGAAGCCAUUGCCUUCCCACAUCUGAAGUAAAGAGUAAUGCUACUUUGACAGAAAUUGGUUUACAAAAUUUUGACAAACUUAUGAAAGACUAAAUUACCUUUCAGUUUAUUUACAAAUUGCGGAUGAUAAUAAAACAGGGGAUGAUGAUUUAGGGUUUUACAUAUUUUUGUCAAACUGCUAGACAACUAAGCUAAAAUUAUCAAUUUUAUGUUGUGUUAGUAAAUAAUCAAUAAUGAUUUUUGCAAUACGAAAUAAUUAAUAUUUUGUUUAGGCAAUUUUAAAAAUGUGAUAACAAUUUUAAAGAAUAAAUAAUUAUCUCAAAUAACUAAAAAAAAUAUAUUAAAUCCUUAAAUUAACAAAUAUAUUUUUGUAAAAAACUUAUAAAUAUUUUUAUGUGGAGCCAAGUUAUUUAAGUUGGGAACUAAAAAUUUUAUUAUAAUAUAAAGUUUAUUCUUAUUUAUAAUUUGUCCAAAUUAAAGUUAAAUUUUUUUUAUAACUAUGAAAGAGUUAUUUCUAUAUAGAUUAUCACUAUAAAUAUAGAGUCACUAUAAAAAAGAUUUUACGAUAUUGAUUCAUAAUCAAUCAUCCCUCAUAAUAAGCACAAGAAUGACAAGUUUUGAGUCUCAAAUAAAUUCAACCACUUACACGUGAAGCAAACGAAACAAGAAGAAUCUUAAGAAAAAAACACUCACCAGCAUGCAAGGUUCAAUCCGGGCUUAGCCCCUCUAACCACAGUUCGUCAAGAGAUUGGAAACAGAGACGAAAAGCAUUUUGAGUGGCUUCAUCCUUCCAUUGAAGCCCUCUCCACCAGUAUUCACCUCCACGAAUAAGAAUUCUACGCCCAUUUGCACUAUUUGAAUCGAGUGGAAGCUUCUUAAGCGAAUCGCAACCCCGAAAUUCCAAUUCUUUCAGACGUGGGAGAGGCAAGGGCUUCCAGUAAAUGCUCUUCAAAUUGCGCAGUCGCUCUAACCGAAGACGCUGGAGUUUUGCAAAAGGGCUGCUUAUUAUUCCCGUCAUCUCAGGAAUGUCAUCAAACUCUCCAGCACUGAUUAUUUCUUCCAUGUCAUUGCAAUAGCGUACGGAAAUAGACUUGAGGUUUGGAGCAAAAACGAGGAAUGUCAAGUGUUUCAAAUUUCUGCAACUGUCUACGGUAACUUCCUCAAGGCUGCGGAAAACAUAAGGUUGGCGCGAUUUUUGUACCAUAUCUUUGUAGUCAAUCCUCAGUCCCCCAGGCCAAUCACAACCAACAAAGGAUAAUGUAUUGAGCUGCUCUAGAUCUGCUAAAUCUGCAACAUCGAUCGACUCCUCCCUAUCGAACUCAUCGAGCAAGAGAGCUUGGGUACAACUUCGUAACUUCUGUGAGCUCAAAAAUGUUUGGUAAGCCUUAAAACUCCUGAAGGUGAUCUCCAGUACCUCUAAAUAUUUCAAACCGAGCAAUUCCUCUGCUACAUUCUCAUGCCAAGAGCUAGACAGUCCGUAAGGUGAUCUAACACCAAUAGCAAACAUUCUCAACACACGUAACCUUGAAAAAUUAGAUAACAGUUGCUGUGGAACUACAACUAACUCUUUUGCCCAGUCCAAAUUCAAACAUUUAAGAUUUACCAACGCUUUUAACUCUUCUGGUAACUCUCCAACGCUUGUUUUUGAAAUAUCAAGGAGUUGUAGUGAAACCAACUUUGAGAUCCCCAUUGGUAACUGCCGUAGCGUUUCAUUAUCUGACAUCUUCAAAACUGUUAGACAAGACAUAGACUGGAAGAAGCCACCGGUGAUCGUCCUCAACGGAUUACGGUUAAGAAACAAAGUAAGAAGAUGAGGGCAUGUCGGAACAGUUGGUAGAUUAUCAAUUGAAUUUCUCAUCAAUGAUAAUCUUCUCACAAUUUCCCAUCCUCUGACAUCUGCAGGUGCCUCCCUUAAUCCGGAACCUGCAUAAACCAAAAAGCCCUCCUUCUCCUUCUCAAUCUCACAAGUUAUCCACAAUGCCAUAUCGCGGACGACGUCAUGCAUUUUCACUUGAUCAUCUUCUACCUCUUCCAAUAAACAUGCAUGAACAAGAGUGCCCACGAUAUAGUAUCCUCGGUUUUGUGUGCCAAACUUGUCUUCUUCCAAAAACCCCUCGCACAUCCAGCAAUCAAUCAAGUCUCUUUUAUCUAUGCCGUAAUCUUCCGGAUAUAAACAACAAUAUAAGAAACAAGAUCUGAUUGCAUCGCUUGGCAAGCAAUCAUAACUGAAUUUUAAAAGAGGAUAUACCUCCUUUCCCAAACCUGCAAAUUCGGAAACUGAUCUUCUUAAAACUUCAAUCGCAUAUCUCCAUUCUUCAGGAGUCUUUUUGUAGGCCAUGGCUCGACCAAUAGUAAUAAGCGCGAGCGGCAAUCCACCGCACUCCUUUGCCACAGUUUGAGCUAGUUGAGGAAUACUAUGAUGACUCUCAAUAGUUUCUUCCCCAACUUUCUCUCGAAAUAGCUCCCAAGCAUCCUCAUCGGAUAAGCAUUCCACUUUGAACUUCCUUCGAGCUUCCAUACCGCCACAAACAUCAACGAAACGGGUUGUAAAUACCACUGCACUAUUUUUUGGAAGAGGGACGCCUACCUUCUUUAGAUCAACCCGCUCCCAUAGAUCAUCCAACAACAAAGCAAACUUCUUCUUGCUUAAAGUCUUGAAGAUGUCCUGAGCUUUCUCUUCGAGACUUCUGUCCUUCCAUGAAUCAGUAUAUAGACCUAUCUUUUUCCCGAUAGUUUCUUGAAUUUUUUCAAGCUGCAGGUCUUUUGACACCACAACCCAAAUCACAGAAUCAAAAUCUGUUGGAUUAUCAACAAAUUUAUUAUUGAUUUGGGUUAACAGUGUAGUUUUACCGACACCGCCCAUGCCGUAUAGGCCAAUUAUACCAGCUGCAGGUUCUUGUACAAGACAUCUCCAAACUUGUUCAAGUUGUGAUUGCAAGCCUACCACCGUUGGCUCAGUAGGUCUUUCAUCUGCCACAGAUAUUAAUUCUGGAGCUGCCGCGGCCACCUCUUCAAAAACUCCUUCGCCCUUUAAGGCCUUCACAUCUCGCAGCAUUUUAGCAACUUUUCUACCAAACUUGUAGCUUGACUUGCAGUUCCUGGAGCAGUAGCCUCCAAGACACAAUUUGUCAAUUUCCUGAGAGACACCAUCUCUUCCCAUGAGUUCAUCAACUUCAGUUUUAAGAGUCUCCACCCUCGAAAGCCAAACCUGCACUUGGUUCAGCCUCUUCAUUUUGUGUUGGUGUUCAGAAUUGAGGACCCUCGUCAUCACAUCAUUCUUUGCAGCGAUUAGUUGUUCCAAUUCAGUCUCCAAGGCAACAACAUUAUCUUUGAGGUCAGUUAUAUAUGCAGCUUUGCCAAGAGUGCAGUCUAGGCAACGAUUGAACAUUGCGCCGUCGCAAGCGAUUUGCAAAAUGUUACCCAUAAUGUAUCUCACUUGUAUGUAUGAAUUCAACCAAGAGAGAAACAAAGAAAUUUAACUUAACCAGUUUGAUGAACAGAAGCUGCUGUCGCGGAUUAAUUGAGAUAGAACAUUAGUUAUUGAAUAAUGUAAUCACCUCUGUUUGCACCCUACUUGCUAAAAAAGUAACAAAAAGGAAAAUUUUAAAAGAACUAGGAAUGUCCAAUGCGUUUUAACAAAGUAUUCUAAACUUAAACUUGUAGCUUAGUUAAAGUAUUCUUGAAACUUGAGGAAAGAAUCCUGGUCGUUUUGCUUUGGUACAAGGGCUUUUUCACUCUUUUAUGUUUUUUGUUGGCGCUUGUAACUGAAUAUUAGAACUUUAAAGUGCCGCUGGGCGCUGGCGUUUAAAAACGAAUAAUUAUACUUUUCUGUCCAAAGUUUCGAGGGCUAAUCAUGAUAAUUGAGAAAUACUGGAAUACCAUAAUGUCUUCCCUACUCCUGGAGCACUAGUUGAUUCGGUGCUCUCCCAGCCAAUGAACAUGAGCCACAUCAUGCAUAAUUUUGUGCAGUUCAAGCGAAACAAAUUAUCCUAUUUAUUAUCAUAUGUAUGCUUCAAUCGAUGUAGUAAUAUUCAUACACACAUAACAAAUUAUCCUAUUUCGUAAUUCAAAAUUAACCAAAAUCUCGUGCUGAACAAAACCUAUAUCUCUAUUUUUUUUUCUUUUUCUUCCGAUUUUGUUGCACAAUGAUUUUCACCGGCCUAAAUUUUACUAAUUCUCAUGUAUACUUAAAUUUUUGGCCUUACAAAAUUGUAAAUUUUGCAAUUGCUCAGGGCCUUAUAUAACAUAAUUGCUUGCAUGAGUUUGACAUAUAAGCAAAAAUGUGAAGGAAGAAUGAGGUGCAAGAAGCAGUUCAAUCGGGUUUAUUUAGCAAGCCGCAGCCGAAUCCCAAUAUUCUCAACAAAGGAAGAAUGAGGUUGCAAGAAGCAGUUCAAUCGGGUUCAUUUAGCAAGCCGCAGCCUAAUCCCAAUAUUCUCAACAAUUUUGAACCAAUCCCAUAUGAUGGUAAUUAGUUUAAUAAACAAGACUUUUCUUUGUCAUUAACUGUGGAUGCCACAUAAUAAUUAAGAUUCACAUAAAUGACUUCCAAUUUUGUAUUACAUUCUCUUUCUAUUUGAAGUAGAUCCUCAAGUUGCACACUUGCACUCACUGUAACUGUGCUGAUCAAAACUGGCCUUGAAAAUUUUAUCAUUUUUUAAAAAGAAAAUUUAAAUUGAUAUAAUCUAAAUAUAUGCAGGAUCAUUAAAAAAUGUCCAUUAAUUCAAUAGUUUGAUUGUUGAGAUUAAGUGUGUGUGUGUGUAUAUACUAAAAGAUUUCUUUAAAAAUUUAAAGAUUAUAGUUAUAAACAUUUAUUAAUUACGAGUUUAAGAUUAUUUAAUUCAUAUAGUAUUAGUGCUAUAAACUUUCAUUUUCAUUAAAAGGAAUUUUAAAAAAUAGUUAAAUCUUGAUUAAACCUAAGAUGGUAUAGAUAAAUUUUCUGUUAAACGAUGUCGUUUGAAGUUUAAUAUAUUUAGCAGAUAUAGCUUGCUCAAACAGCUCCUCUUCAUGCCGCUUCCAAUGCUUUCUUCUUCAUUUGCCGUCGUCGCGACUACCAAAAAGGUACCCAUCCCUCUUUUGAUCGUCAUUUUGCAUACCCUUUUCUUCAAUCUGAUUCUUUCUCUUAGUGUUUUUUUUUUAAAUAAUAAUUUCAUAUACCCUUUUGAUUCUUUUGGAUUGUUUUUGUGGAUUCAUUUACUUUGUUAAUUUUCAUUUGGGUUGGUUAUUAUUGGAUGAUUUAGAAAUGCUAAUGUACUAUGGCAAUAAUCAGAUGCUGUUCAUUGUGCCAUUAGCCUGCUGCUGAUUAAGUUUUCAGGAGUUCAUGCUGAGAUUCAUCCGUCUGGUCAUGUUUAUAUUUAUUUUGAAAACUGUUAGACAAAUUGAUAAUUACAAUAAAAUGAAUACACACAUGUUGCACAACAAUGGAGGAGUGUAGUUUGAAGACUAUCAGACAAAUUGAUAGUCACACCAAACAAAUACACACAUCGCAUAAUAUCAUUGUAUGGUUGCUCCAUUGUGGUUAUGGUGGUUUUAAUCGCAGAAUGCUAUUUGCCACAAGCACCAAGACUAUUGAUGGCAUUUCGUUUUGUACCGAUAAUAAGUCAACAGAUUUUUGCAUUAAUCUUCUGUUUCUACUUUUUUUUUUUUUUAAAUGUAUAACACACGCACUCUAGUGAGACUCGAAUCCAUGACCUGAGUUUUAAGAAGACUGUUCCUUAACAUUCAGAUAUCAUUUUGUACCUAGAAUUUGGUCCAUUAUUUUCUCUGUUUAGAGUCUCUCAGGUCUUGUCUGUAAGAUGGUGCAUGGUAGUACUGUUUGCAUGUUGAAGAAACAUCAAUAGGUAGGUUGGAUGAAUAAUUGUAUUGCCCAGUUAAAGCAACUCUUUUUUUGAGUUAGACUGUUGAUAACACAUUUGAAAGCUGGAAUUUUCUACUUGUUUCCUAAGUUUUCAGUCUACUUUCUGAGGUUUAUGAUUAUUUCACAUCCUCUAUUAGGUCUUUUUUUUGCAUUAUAAAGCUGUAUUAGAGUCCUUGCAAUCAAUGUACCUUACAUUGAUUGUAAAGUAGCAAAAUCCUUACUACUUUUGGACUCCCCUUGAUAUUGCAGAGUUUGUGUGUCAGUGUCCCCCCUCCCAUUUUUGGGUUGGUUGUUGAAGAGUCUGACCAAAAUCAGUGUUUUGUUCUGUUAGGAUCCCCUCUGGAUGCUGUAUCCGAGACCCAGUCCUUGGUCCAGCCAAUGUAGUUAAUUUCCCAGUUGGGCUAUGAAAACCACUGCACAUAUGAUGCGUUGCUCCAAGAUGGGGAGUGUGAGACUGGUAGAAAUACUAAAAGUGUGCCCCAGCCCUACAAUUGUCAUAGUUUUAGACAUUUUGAAGAAAUGAAUACUGCAGUUUUAAUUAUUUAAUAGUGAUAUGGAAACAAACUACUGUACUGAACCAUGUACUUGACAAUCUUUCUACAUCGAUACACAUUACUGUAACUGAAUUUUAAGAAGUCUUUGGAGAACUCAAGGGAGUGCAUCCUAUAUAUUCUAUAGCAUCUAGGGAUGUCUGCAGAUUGUUGACUUCAUCUUGUCAUAGUGUCUUAUAGUCAAUAAGAUGUGCUAGUAAUUAAAUAAAUUGUUCAUUUUUAAGACCAUUGUUUCGGUUAAAGAAAUUAUUGAAAUGAGUUAGGAGUUUUGGUAAAAUUGACAUGCUGUAGAGCAAGCGUGAAAUAAUCAGUGCCCCAUCAAGAGCAAUAUUGAUGGGUUGAUUACAAAUUGAGAAUAAAUGACGGCGGUCUUCUUGUUUUAAUGGAAAAAUGGAAACAAAAUUAGGAUGAGGGAGAAAAACCUACAAAUAGUCCAUGAGGAGAAGGAGAGAGAGAGAGAGAUGCACUGCAAAUUUUCCAUAUGGAGAUGUAUUUUCAGGUUAUUUACCCCUUAUUUGUGAUUGUUGUUAUUGAAGAAAAACUUAUUGGCAAACAUUAAUUGCAGAAACUUCCAGACAAUUUGAAAUAUUGAUUGGUAAACUAAUUAAUGAAUGUCAUUGCUUGCAAUUUCCCUGUCCCUUAAAAUGAAUAAAAACGUUUCCUUGCAAGUGGAUUCUGAGACUUUCUGUUCAUAUAUGCUUUUCAUCACACUGAGUGUUGGACAGAGCUCAGUCGGUUGAUGUUUAAUUUCAUGCUUUUGAUUCAUGACCUGCCUUAUGCUGCCAAGUUUUACGACUGCUGUGGGGCCGAGGAUCCUGAUGCCUCUGGUUGCACCACCAGCUUCCAUGUCUCUUAUGAUGAUGAUUGAUGUAAUAUUCUCUUCCUAAUCACCUAUAUCUCGAACGUUCAUUAAAUUUGUAGAUAUCCCCAUGUCUCCUCUCUCGACACACAUCAUUCCCUGCUGUUCUCCUGUUAUAUAAUUCCAGUCUUCAUCUCUUAAACUUUCAACUUUCAUCUUUUGUUUUUUUCCCCCUGGAUUGAUCUGACAUGAAUUUCAAAUGAUGAUCUGAGAGGUAUGAACCCUUAGUCACAUAUUACAUUCAUGCUACCGAGUCGUUUUUGGAGCCAAAAAUAGGUCAUGUGCCUGCAAUUGGCCCAGUCCAUAAUUGUUUGCAUGAGUUUGAUAUGCGAAAAUGUGAAAGGUAGAAUGCAGCUGGCAAAGGAAAAAUCAAAGGGCAUGCUUCCCACAUCAAGAUGGUGGUAGUGGUACAUCUUUGUGUUUCCUUGACCUUAUCCAAUAUUCAUCAUUUUUGGUUACUCUGCAAUUUUUCGCUGUACAUUUUGAUCCCACACCAUGUGCUUGACAGUUGUUUCGAUUUUAUCUCUUUUUUUUUUUUUUUUCCUUUCUAUCUUUCAGAUCAGCAUUUUUGUCUUGAUUCUUGAAUAGUUGAAUAUGUAUGUGUGGGUGGGUAUAUAUAGUACUUAGAUUUUGUUUAAUUUUCUAUUGCUAACUUGAUUCUUUGUGGCAUUAAUUUAAUAUGAUUUACAUCUUUUUGGUUGUAGUGUUGAUGAGUUGCCUUUAUAUGAUGACCCAAUUUUAUUCUUUAUUUUUUUUGUCUUCAUUGGUUUAACCAUAGAAAAAUAAAAUAGUAAUGAGAUUGGUCAUUUUGGCUAAACAAUUAAUGAACUAAUGGAGUAUAUCUCACUCCCCUAGUAUAUCAUAAAUUUCUAAAAUUUGCCUUCAAUCAAUUAAACAUAAAUUUCAAAAUUCUUUUUUAACAAAAAAAAAAGCCAAUACGGAUCCUUUAAAGUUUAAAACAUCCAAAAAGGCGCAAAAAAAAAAAAAAAGAGUCAUCUAUUAGCAUACGGUAAAAGCAUAAUUCGACUAAAGUUGGGGCAUGGCAUGUGGUAGACAUGUGGAUUGAUUGCAUAUGUUAUUGAGUCGUUAUAUCAUCGGCUUCACAUUAUCAAUAAGCUUCCCCCCCUCCAAAAAAAAUCUUCUAAGAAUUAUGUGUAUGUUUUUUAGCAUAAUUGUUGGCUGAUCAGAAACUCUGUCAAGUAAGUAAUUUAGAUUAAACCAGCAAUUAACAUGAGAAGUUAGGCUGGCUGGCGGGACAAAUGGGACAAACUCAAAUCUGGUUCAAUCAAUUAGCAAGCAGCAGCCAAAUUCCAAGAUUCUCAACAAUUUUGCCAUUAAACUCAAAUCUGGUUCAAAACUUAUAUUUGGAAAAACUCAUGUUGAACAGAUACUUAUAUUUGGAAUACUAGUUUUGUUAAAACACCAAAUGGACAACAAUAAAGACAAAGAAUAGGGAGAUUUAAUAAGAAUUAAUCUAACUACUCUCUCUAAGAAGAAAAAAAAAAGAAAAAGAAAACAUCUAACUACACUCAUUUUCUAAAAAUAUAAAUAUAUAUAAUUACACUAGAACCCGUAUAAAUUUUUAUUUUGUCAAGCAAUUACGUGAUUAAUAUUAAUUUUAUGACCUCAACUCAAUGGUCAUAUCAAGAGCAUAUUUAAUUAUUUUAUUUUUAAUCAACAAUUGAGAUGUUACGCCCUGGAGUUAAAACCGGCUGUUAUCAUUUUGUUUUCUGAUUUAAUUUCCAUUUUAAAAAUAAUUUUAGACCCCGUGAGCAAUGCAACGAAUGAUUCGCGAGUUUGGAGGAGUCCAUGCAUAUGGGGCCCACUGGUUGUUUGAUGAUUGAUUAUGUCACACGAUUCCUGCCACAUACGAUUAUUAUCCACCCUUUAUCUCCUUUUUUUUUUCCUUUAAUAAAUAAUCCUCUUUACUCAUUUCACUUCCAAUUUCAUGUUCAUGCCCUUACACUAUUGAUUUAUCUAUUUUUUAUUUUACACAUUUUUUUUUUACUCUUCCUCAUGUUAUUGUCCCUUUCUUUUUCUUUUCUUUUUCCUUAGCAGUAAUGUUCCAAAUUUAAUUGAGAAACAAAGUUAUAAAUGAUAGAACUUAUUAGUUCGAUAAUUUAUAAACUCGUAAUAGAUGGUACUCAUUUUUAUUCCUAGAUGAAUGCAACACGACCGCGUACAGAAUACGUCGAGGUUUGGAAAAAACGUGGUCCUAAGACAUUUUUAGUAAGAUUAGGGGUUUAACUGAUAUUUAAUUCCUUUAAAACGUGAAGUUUACAUUUUGCACCCUUUGAAUUUACAGUUUCUUAUGUUUGGCAUCUCUCUAAUAUGGUCCACAUUAUACCAAAAUUAUAUUUCCACCACUAAAUGUGACAGUAUUGAAAAACUAUUUGAAGUCGGAAAGUUAAGUGAAUUUCGAUUUAUUUUUUAGGAUAGUUUUUAAGUAUUAUAUAGAUGAAAAUUAACUAUCUACCUAACUAAUCAAGCGAGCAAUUUAAACUUUAAAGCUCUUUAAUAUCAAUGGGUUUUCCUCAUCUAAUUGAAAAGAUGUUGAAAUAAAUGAUUCUAUUAUAUGCGCCAUAAAAAUGAUACUCUCUUUAUGAAAAAAAAAUGGUAAGAAAACAAAAGAAGAAGAAUAUUCAAGCACACUAUCGUUUCUCUAGGGUGUAUGUAAUAGAAUGAUUAGUAUAGAAAGAGAGAAGUUAAUUGUCCAACUUGCCGUGAGAAUUUGGCUAUCAAUUCAAAUAAAUAGUAAUUAAAUUUGUCAGUUUAGUUAAUUACUUCUACUUGUAAAUGUCCCAUCUCAAAAAGAUAUAUUUUAUCGGUUAAUACAUAUUGUCAAUGCAACCGUCCCUUAAACUAGAAACGUUGAGAGUGAUUACUUCAUUGCUACUUUGAAUGUUUCUUACUAUUAGCCUUAAUAGUUAGUGAUACAUAUGUUGCUUUCAAAUUUUACGUAUCAAAUUGAUAAGAUUAAGACCUUUAGUUUUUUAAUUUUAAAUACUUGAGAGCAAAUACAUUUUCUUUUGAAAUGGGAAAUUUUUUUUCUAAAUAUGUUGCGAGUCAAUUCGUUCUGUUAAACUCAAAUAUUUAAGGCAGCUUUCAGGCAAUAACAUAAGUAUCUAAAUAUAAUUUGUUCGAUUAUUUUAUUAUAAUUAAAAAUAUGUUAUCACCUAAACUACCUAAUAUCAACAUUAUAGAGUUUUGUUGGCCUAAGCUCAAGCAACAUAUCGAAUUUAGUAAUGAAUGUACAAGAGUAGAUUAUUAAUUUUGACAAUGAGAUAAAUCCAUAUGGUAGCUAGAUAUAACUAUUCCAAAAGAUAAGAGAGUGAGCUGCCAAAUCCCAUUAAGCAUGCAUGAACAAGUUACAUAUAAAUCAUUAUUACUAUUAAGAUUUUUGUUCAAUCUCUACUUAGGGUAAGUCCCACCUAACACCAAAUGAUGGCUAUUGAAAUCGCUACAACUGGAAGAAAUAUGCUAGAAGGUUUGUUGGUUGCUAGUCAGCUUCUCACCUUACCCAAAAAAAUAUUUGUUACACUACUAAUUCUUUUUCCAUGUCCAAUUAGAAAUAAAAAUUGCUUGUUACGCCAGGUAAAGCAAAUGGGAUUCACCCACAUCAUCUGCCGUAUAAGUUAUGGCUUUUGUUAAUGUCGACUUUAUUAAUAAAUAAUUAAAUUUGCACUGAGGUCGAAUUUUGGGGCUCCAAAGCUGAUCGUACACUUAAAUCUCGUCUAUUAAGAGUAGGGCUUUGUUUUCUUAUAUCUAUGGAAUAAUGUCGAAAAUCUUUUUUUUUUAUUUUUAUUUUUACCUUUUAAUCAUGUACUGUUAGAUCACCGGCGGCAAUGAUGACUUUAAAGUGGAUCACUACUUCAAAAAUUCUCCCUAAUAUUUCUGUUUCACUUUUAUCCAUCAAUUUAAUUCGUGAAAAAAUUAUUAACAUUUUUGUAAAAUCAUGUAAUCCUGACAAUAAGUUUAAGAAUUUGUCCAUGUCACAGUUAUUUUUGAUGUUCUAAGCGAUGCGGAUUAAUAUAGUUUGGGGUGUAACCCAGGAUGAUUAAAUUAAAGGAGUAAUUAAUCUAACAUUUAAGCUAAUUAAUAGAAUAAUUAAUGAUAUGUUUCAACUGAAAAAACGAAAGCAAGUAGAACGCAGGGUGUGUGCUUUUUUCAUUCUUUUUAUUUUUUUUUGGUGUAUUUGAAAAAAUGAGAAACUUUAGUUUAAUCAAUUAAUUCUUUUUGAUACUUCAUCGUAAAAGACUAUAUAGUAUGAAGGAAAUGUCCAAGUUUCGGUUUCAUUGUAAAUUUGAUGGGUUUGUAUGUGAUAUUACUAUCAUCACGAUGCAAGUAAUAAUUUAUAUUCAGUGUUAAAUUUUUUUUUUUUUUAUACAUAUAAAUUUCUCAAAGGGAGUUAAGAUAAGACAAAUCGAAGGUAAAAUAUUCUAGAAAAUCGUAUGCUAAUAUCUUAAAUUUGUACUUAAUAAAAUGAACUUGUUUAAUAUAUUACAACCGUCACAAAUUUUUAUGACAUAUUCUCUGCUGUAAACAUAAAAUGAAAUUGCCAUAACAUAAUUAAAAAAGAAAAGGAAAUUUAUAAGAAGUGUGUAACUUGUAAGAUAACACUUUCUUUGUAAAACAUGUAACACUGUAUUAGAUAAGAAGAAAAGGGUGAUUCAAAUAGAGAAAGAGGGCACAUGUUUACAUGGAAACAGCCAUGUGUCUUCCCCCUUUUCCUUCCUCAAAAGCAGGGUGGUGCCCUAAGAAGGUAGAAAUGCACACCUCUCAGUCUCUAAUUGUCUCUGAAAAAGUUAUGCCAAUUUGCCUUUGUCAGUGUAUAACUAUAAAUAAAGAACUACUCAGGGGCAUUCUUGUACUUUCACCGCCUCAUUGCUCCCUGCACUCCACCUUAAAAAUAACACUCUGAUUAAAAGAAUUUUAAAAAAAAAUAUCUAUGCUCAGAGAGAGAAAGAGAGAGAAAGAGAGAGAGUGACUAUAGUGUGUUGUACAUACAAUAACUGCAACCUGUGUCGUGUUGUGUCUGUGGUCAGCCACUUCAAAGACAGAAAACACCAACCAAAAUAAUUUGGUUUUUUCUUUUUUCCUUUCUCUAUGCUGUAAAUUUCUUUCUUUGUUUUUUUGUUUUUGGGCUCACUCACCUCACUUAACUGCUUCAGAGUCUUCAACUUUAUUGUUGUGUUUGCUUUUGGUAUUGCACAAAACAAAAUUUUUGAAUCUUUUAUCAUAAUCCCAUGAUCUGAAAAUACAAAAACUGAAACUUGGAACUCCCAAUCCCGCAUCCACAUUUACAUUAAAUCCUUAUAUUCUCUUACAAAAAUGUCAGCAUUUUAGCAGUAGCCAUACACAGCCACUCUCACAUUUUACACAUUUUUAAAGUUCUCUCUUUCCUCUUUAUCUGCUUACCUAUCUCAUCACCUCAGUCAUGGCAACCAAAUCCAAGUAAGUAUACUCACUGUUUCUGUCUGGAUCUGUUUCUUUUUUUUUUCUUUUUGAAUUUCUUUAUCUGGGUUGUGUUCAUUUUUGGUCUAUUUUUGUUCAAAAAGAAAAAAAAAUUGUUCUUAAUUUGUUUAUGAUCUGUAGGUUAGGAUUUUUUUUUUCUGUUAAAGUUACAAUUUUGCUUCAGUUUUAUUUGUAAACUCUGGAACAAAUUUUGAUUUUGAUUUUUUUUUGUCUAUAUGAGUUUCCCUUAAUUUGCUUAACUUUUUAUCCUAAUUUUAAUUUUUGUGUUCUUUUUGUGAUUCCCUUAAUGGGUUGGAUCUGUUCUUGAAAAAGAUGUGUUGUUCUUUCAAAUUAUGACACUAGAAUUGUAUGCAAAGUUUCUAUUUUUGGCAUAUACUGCUUGGAUUCUGUUUUGAGUUUUGGCAAGAGUUAUAUUUACAUAUAUGGCAUUACAAAUUCUAUGUAAUGGGUUCUGAUUUGGUAGAUAAAUGACAAAAUUUUGAACUUGAUCAGAUCUGCUUUAUCUGAAACUCCUAGCAAAGCUUCCCCAGCUACUCCAAGAGUGAGUAAAGUUGGAAAGGGAGUGACUAAGCCAGAAACUGAUUCACAUUCUCCCCUGCAAAAUUCUCGGCUUUCUAUUGAUAGAUCCCCGCGGUCUAUUAACUCGAAGCCCUCAAUUGAACGUCGAUCCCCCAAGGUUGCUUCAACCCCACCUGCUAAGGUUGCUAUUACCCCAUCAGCUAAGGCCGCUACACCACCAGUGAAGGCUGCUACCCCACCUGAAGUAAGUUUUAGGAAUUGAUAAUAAAGUUUGGUGCCUUUGUUUUUCAAUAUUUGGAGUUUGUUUGGUUUGUUUUGAAAAGUGCCAUUUUGGAAAUUCCCAUAAAGUUUGAAAAUGAAGUUAAAGUCUUUGGGAUUGCCGUGACUAAAUAUGAUCUAUUUGUAUGGAAUACGACCAUUAAGCUGCUUUGGUCACUGGAAAUUGAUAUUCUAGCAUGAAAUGGUUGUCUUUUGAACAAAGCUCUUGUGCUUGUCAGUGUGAGAGUUUUGAUGUCACAUGAAUUGAAAAUGAAAAUCAGAAGGAAAAGAGAGCUCUGAAGUGUAUUUUCUUUAACAUAAUUUGGUUUUGUCGGACAUGAAAGAUUGUCCUUAGGAAUAGAAGCAAACAUGUCUUUAUACUGAAAUUUAUGCAAAUUUUGAUCUGCAUUAUUAUUUGGUUUUGAUUUUCAGAAGUCCCAAUCACGGCUUGUAAAGGGAUCGGAAUUGCAGGCUCAAUUGAAUCUUGUUCAGGAAGAUCUUAAGAAAGCAAAAGAAAAGAUAGAAUUAAUUGAGAAAGAGAAGGUGCAAGCUAUUGAUGAGCUAAAAGAAGCACAGAGAGUCGCUGAGGAGGCAAAUGAGAAACUGCAAGAGGCUUUGAUGGCUCAAAAGCGUGCCGAGGAGAAUUCUGAAAUUGAGAAGUUCCGGGCUGUUGAAAUGGAACAGGCAGGAAUUGAGGCAUCCCAGAAAAAGGAAGAAGAAUGGCAAAAAGAGAUUGAAGCAGUGAGGAACCAACAUGCUUUGGAUGUAGCUUCUCUCUUGUCUACUACGCAGGAGCUUCAGAGGAUUAAGCAAGAACUGGCAAUGACAACUGACGCAAAGAACCAGGCAUUGAGCCAUGCCGAUGAUGCCACUAAGAUUGCUGAGCUUCAUGUUGAAAAGGUGGAGAUUCUCUCAUCUGAGUUGACCCGGUUGAAGGCCUUGCUUGAUUCACAGCGUGAAACAGAGUCCAUUAAGAAUAGGGAGCUGGUUUUGAAGCUUGAGGAGGAGAUAGAUACUUUAAAGGAAGAACUUGAGAAAUCUAGAACUAUCGAAAAAAAAUUAAUGGAAAGAGAAGCUUCUAUUGAACAGCUUAACAUUGAGCUAGAGGCUGCAAAGAUGGCUGAAUCUUAUGCUCGUAAUUUAGUGGAGGAGUGGAAAAUCAGGGUGGAGGAAUUAGAAAUGCAGGCUGAGGAAGCACAUAAGUUGAAGAGAUCUGCUUCAGAGUCCUUGGAUGCAGUCAUGAGACAGCUGGAGGGUAACAAUGAUAAAUUGCAUGAUGCAGAAUCUGAAAUUGCUGCUCUUAAAGAGAAAGUGGGAUUGUUGGAAAUGACAAUUGGAAGACAGAAAGCGGAUCUUGAUGAAUCAGAGCGUAAGCAUAGUAUGGCUAAGAAUGAAACUUCUGAAAUGGCAAAAACGGUUGAGUCUUUGAAGUUUGAGCUGGAGACUGUGAAGGAGGAAAAAGCUCAGGCUUUGAACAAUGAGAAGCUUGCAGCAUCUAGUGUUCAAAACCUAUUGGAAGAGAAACACAAACUCAUAAAUGAAUUGGAAAAUUCCAGGGAAGAAGAGGAGAAGAGCAAGAAGGCAAUGGAAAGCUUAGCUUCUGCCUUACAUGAAGUUUCUGUUGAAGCAAGGGAAGCCAAAGAAAAGCUUUUAUCCAGUCAAACCGAGCAUGAAACUUAUGAGGCGCAGAUAGAAGAUUUAAGGAUAGUCCUGAAAGCAACAAAUGAGAAGUAUGAAAGCAUGCUUGAUGAUACAAAACAUGAGAUUGGUCUUCUUACAAAUACCAUUAAAGAAGCCAAAGAUGAAUCCAAGAUAUCCAAGGCUGAGUGGGAGCAAAAGGAACUUCAUUUGGUGGAUUGUGUAAAGAAAUCUGAAGAAGAAAACUCUUCACUGGAAAAAGAAAUAAAUAGGCUGGUCAACCUGUUAAAAGAAACUGAGGAGGAUGCUUGUGCCACAAAAGAGGAAGAAGCUCAGCUGAGGGAUAGCCUAAAGGAGGUUGAAGCUGAGGUGAUUUAUAUGCAGGAAACUCUUGGGCAAGCAAGGGCUGAGAGCAUGAAACUGAAGGAGAGUUUGUUGGACAAAGAAACCGAGUUGCAAAGUGUCAUUCAAGAAAAUGAGGAGCUCCGAGCUAGAGAAGCGGAUUCUGUUAAAAAGGUUGAAGAGUUGUCUAGUUUGCUUGAAGAAGCUAUGGCCAAGAAGCAAACUGCGGAAAAUGGUGAGCUUACAGACAGCGAAAAAGACUAUGAUCUCCUUCCCAAGGUUGUUGAAUUCUCUGAAGAGAAUGGACAUGCAAGAGGAGAAGAGAAGCCCAAAAUGGACCUUCCAGUGCAAGAAUGCAAGGAACAGAAUAUGGAAAAUUCCAAAGAAGAGACAAAUGGCAUGACUGAUGAGACUGUUGAACUAGCUGCUGCCAAGAUUGAUAAUGUCAAUGGAAAGCUGAAGGAAGAUGAAAGCAAAGAGAAAGAAGAUGAUUCAGUAGAAGUUGAAUUCAAGAUGUGGGAGAGCUGCAAGAUUGAGAAGGAGCUUUCACCAGACAGAGAGCCAGAACCAGAAUCCUUCGAAGAGGAAACAAACUCAAAGGUGGAGGGCAGUGAAAACUUUGGUCAGAUUAAUGGGCUAUCUUCUUCAGAGAACAUCGACGAUGGUGGAAGCUCACCGUCAAAGCAACAGCAGCUGCAGCAGAAGAAGAAGAAACCUUUCAUCCGAAAGUUUGGAAGCUUACUGAAGAAGAAGCAGGCUACCACCCCCAAGUAGAGGAAGAAAAUCACUUUAUGGCCUGACUUAGCCUGACUAGCAGGCAGGUAUAUUGGAUACUAUCUUGCAACUUAUUGUGUUU